This 50347-nucleotide long non-coding RNA is filed under the name Triticum aestivum (bread wheat). RNAcentral's name for it is "long non-coding RNA (TAES_LNC026916)". The record is from RNAcentral. Lineage: Eukaryota; Viridiplantae; Streptophyta; Magnoliopsida; Poales; Poaceae.
UUGGACCUAUGUUAGAACUUCAAAUUUGACAUGCUAUAUGGAUGUUGUAAUUCUUUCAAAACAUUGGUAAACUCACAUUCAUGAAAAAUGUGCUAAAAAAGAGCUCCAAAGGUAGGGUAAACGGCCUCAUUUCUAAGCAAGAUUUUUUGAACUUGUCUAAAUGCGCCAAAUAACUUCCGUACACAUAUAUUCUAUAUACACAAACUAUGUGCGCUGAUUUUUCCUUUUUUUGAUUUUUUUUUUUAAAAAUUUGCUCAUUUAAUUUCUAGUCAAACCUAACUUUGACCAAGAUUUAAACAAGUCUAAAACAUCAACAUGAAAAACUAAGCCUGGAUCCUUCUUAGUCACUCCAAAAUGAAGCUCAUCAUGUUUUAGUUUUAUCGUUUUUAUUUUGUUGCUUUUCUAUGUCGUGCUUGCCAUGUCGUGUCAUGCCGUGUCCUUGGACUUAUCUAUCUAUGUAGGGUACCCAUCUAUGUAAGGGUAUGAUGUGCUACAUCUUAUCAAUCCAAGUUAUUAUGUGUGUUCAAAAAUGUUUGCGGCCAAAGAUAUCAUUUCUUCUCUAAACCAAGUUAUGAACUAACAUGCACAUUUAUUCCCUUCAAAUCCUAAACCAAGUGCCACUCUAACCACAAUCAUGUGGCAAUGCAAACAUAUGUUUCCAACCCUCCAAAAGUUCUGUGCAAAACAAAGGAAAACCACUCUCACACGUGUGCAAACAUUCAGUACAAACAUGCGUUUUUAAACCCUAAACCAAGUCAGGUCUCACUAUGUAUAGCUUCCUUCCCAAGCCAUGUCAAAGUCUUUCCAUCUUCCCUAGCGGUUACCAGCGCAGCCCUAAACGCCACAAACCCAUGCGGUCCUGGGUUUGAGUCCCAGUCGCACAUAUUUUUCGUGCAUUUUCCACCCAUCAUUUUUUGGACAAAUUAUUUUUUCUCAAUGUAAUGCCCUUCAAAAAUGUUCAUUAAUUUUGGCAUCAGGUGUAAACCUCUACCACAGCUUUGGCACAUUUUCCAUGACAUUUUUGUCUUUGAUUUAAAUCACGAGGUAUUUGAAUUGGAGUAAUUAAAUUGUUUAAAUAUUUAACAGCUCCAAAAAAAUUCUAAACUUAAUUGUUUGGCUCUGGAAUAAUUAAAUUAGCUUCCAAAAAUAGUUUCAGCAUUAAAUAAAAUGAACUACUGCCUAAAUUAAAUCAGAAUAGAAAAAGAAAAACAUGCAAGAGAUCUCAUUUUCCCACCCCGGAAUGGGCCUAAUUGGAUGCAGUUGGCCCAUUAGUCUAGCCUUCACUUGGCUCUCCGCUCUGAUUUGGCCCACAGAGGAACCUUUUUUGACAGAAAGGCAGAGCAGAGAGCUGCAUUUCAUCGAUCAAAGUUUCUGAAUUUCUCAUUUCUUCUUCCUUUUUUCAACAUAUUUAAAUGUUGCUCAUUUCUUUUCUCUUUUUUCAACAUUUAAACAACUUUGACCAACAUUUAAACAAGGUGAAUUUCUCAUACAAUUUCAGGCUUACAAAUCCCUCCAUAAUUCAUGCCUUUCCAUACAAUUUCAACAUUACACCCAGUGCGAUUACCAUAGCUACAAAUGCCCAAAAGUAAUUGCAAAUGAGUAUUUGUGCUUGAUCUUCAAACUUCCUAACCUUCUUAUUCAGCAUCCUAAGCUCAACAGCUAGCUCUCUGUCAGUGUGUGGUUCGCCCUCCAUCUCUUCUUCCGGAGCUCGUGCUGCGGCCACUACCAUUCGUGGCAGCAUGCGCAACCAUUCUUCAUGCUCUUCUUGUAGUUCAUUCAUCAGAGUCUUGGCCAGAGCAUCGACCCAAAGGAAGAAACAUUCCACCUACAUGAAUGCCAAACAGAUCAACCCAUUGCUCAAAGAUCCCGACCACGAAAAUGGUGCAAUUGCCCCGAUUCUUACCCCAUUCUCGCUGCACACGUAGAACAGACGAUUCUGGUUCCUUGAUGUGUGAGAAACCCUCCAAUCAACGGCCUCCCGACACCGCAGAUAGACGAAGAUAGGCAUCUCCACGCUCGCCGGGCUCUGCAUCCGCCAGGUGCCGCGGGAGCUUGAAGAAGACAUGGAGCUCAGAGCCGAAGGGGAUCUCAACGCGGCCGCACCCUCCACAUCUAUCUUCCCACCGCCGCUCUCUCUGUCUCCAUGGUCACCACCGUGCUCUAUCUCACCCGCUCUCUGUAUCGCCGUGGUCACCGCCGCUCUCUAUCGCCCGCUUAUAUAACACACCCGCAACAGCUCUCCGCUCAACGGCUCUUUGUUGGGUCCCACAAGCCACGCGUGCAACAGUCUGAUUGUCUAGCGCAUCUCUGCCGCCUGGUCCCACCUGUAAGAACCGAGUCAAAAGGUUGACCUGACGGAGACGACAAUUUUCAUGGAACGAGUUGGUGCGGACACACUAGGGGCAAAACUGGGCAGAAUUCACAACUGAGGGCGAAACUAAGCAAAUGGACACCACUAAUGGCAAAAGGAUAAUUAACCCAAUUUUUUCUGACAUGCAUGAACAUUUUGCUAGUUAAAUUUAUGGUCAAAAAUUGGCACAAAUUACAAUGGGGACCAAUAAACCAAGACGAAGGUAGUACUUGCAAAAAAUCACCAUAAGUUUCUAUGGUAUUUUGAGUUCAUAGAUAUUGAUUUUCUGAAAAGUCAAAACAUGCACAAAACGGUAACUGGCUCUGUGCACUUAAUUAAUAGGUUCAUCCGGGAAAAAUUGCUAUGAAAGGUAUUGAAAAGUGAUAUUAUAAUAUCAUGAAAUAAAAAAUUAUCGAUAUGUUUGAGAUAUAUUAGUGCCAUAAAAAUCUUACAGUCGAAUCGCACCAGUAACGUAUGCAAUUUGUCGUGGCUAAUGUACACGUUUCUUUCGGGACGAAUCCAUAGUUUUCAUGUCAGCAUCCCACAAAACAGUGUUAUUCUUCUUCCUCUCCUCUCGUUAUCUCGACACCUUUAUCAUCGCCAUUGUUAGCUAGCCCCCUCGUGUUGUGGCAUUCUAUUUUGCAAUACAUACAAGAAGGCAUAAUUAAUAAAACUCACCGCAUCAUUGCAUUAACCAGUUAAAUCAAUAAACAUGUCUAUGCACAUGAGCAUUCAUAUUCAUAUAUUCAUGUGAAUUGGGUAUUUGUAUUGAAAUGGGUUAUUCAUGGUUGUUAUAUCAUCUUGGCGCAUUGCAUUGUAUGAAGGUGUUAAUACGUCCAAAAACAGUCAUGUCUUCUUCUACCUUUAUGAUGUCUAUUCAUGUCAUUUUCACCGGACAUUCAUAGGCGCACACACCUGCCCGGUUGGGCCUCACCGCACAAUUUUCUCACGAUACACAAACUCGUUUGACUCCUCAUAGUUCCCUCCAUGGUUUGGGGUUUUAUCUUCUGAAACUUAGUGAAUUUAUCAUUCAUUCCUACCAUGUUUUAGCAUGUGUAACAUAGUGAAGUUGUAAAAACAUGGUAUAACAUAUUCAGAAGUGAUUUUAUUUCAAUGCCCUCAUCACUAGGACCCAAUAUGCAAAUGAAACAUAAAUUGCACUUUUGCUUCAAAAGAUAUAUAAUAUAUUCAAAUUGGAAGUCCAAAUAAAAAGCAUGAGUUGGGGUCGGUGCCCGCACAUGUGUGCCACUAUGUGUCUUUUUUAUUAGUUACAUUACUUUGUUUCCAAUUUUGCUGCCAGAUAUGACAAUUUAUAUCGUCUCCCUUUUGAGAAAAGUCAAAGAAUGACGACAAUAAAUAGAAAAGCCUAAAUAUAAAAGAAUAGGAAGACAAAGAAAUUCAUACAAAAUUACACUCAUGGGGUGUAGCAAGAGGGCACGAUAGGGCUUGUAGGGCCCACCACUACUAGGAAAAGGCCUACUAAUGGCGCACCGGUUUUGCCUACUAAUGGCGCACUACCGGUGCGCCAUUAGUAGCAUGCCAUUAGAAUUUUUUACUAAUGGCGCACCACUGGUGCGCCAUUAGUAUCUGGUAUACUAAUGGCGCACCAGCCAGUGCGCCAUUAGUAUGUAACACCAUGCGCCAUUAGUAUGCCUCCUAGGGGGCCAUAUGUAACCAUGUGCUUUGUCACACUAGUGGCGCACUCUGCCACGAUGCGCCAUUAGUAUCCUUUGGCAUACUAAUAGUGCACUCUGCCUUGAUGCGCCAUUAGUAUGAAUAUUUUUUUUUGAUUUUCUGAUUUUUGCAUAGGUUACAAAAUAUAUUAUUGGACAGAAUAUAGACAGCAGCACACAGCAACAUCAGAUUCAUCGAAUACAAUAGAAGAUUAGUCUCCGAAUACAAUUCAUCAUAUUAGUCUCCAAAUUCAAAAGACCGAACAAAGAUAAAACAUUACAAGUCUCAAGACCGCGAGUAUCGAGUUUGUCUUCACAUUACAAGUUGAUAUCGAUCAUCUAAACUACCAUCACAUAAAAGAGAGUUGUGGUCAUCACGAUGAGCAUCAUCGCGAUCAAACUGCUCCUCAUCCGGUUCCUCCAACGCUCCCUCCUCUCUCCCGCUAGAUAGCGGGCAUAUCUAGAUUCGGCCUCCGCCCUAGUGGUGUACCCUUUGUAACUGUUACCGCUGAAAUGGUGAACCUGUCUCCGACACUCCUCCCAGUCGUCGUAGACUCCGAGAACCUUACCCUUGUAAACGACAUACGACAACAUCUCUAUGCACAAGCCAAACAACAGAUAAUACAUAAGCAAUAUGUAAGUAUGCAACAAAAGGAUUGAAAGGGAAAAGCAAGACAUUAAUAGCACGAUUCAUGGUCCUACUAAUAGAUAGCAUCGAUUACAUCUAAGUUGAACGACUGUCCAAACCAAAGAGACAUACGAAUUCAUUAAAGUUUAAUUACAACAUGAGCUAAUCAAUGUUUCAGAACUACACAUCACUACUUUCGACUCGACUCAUCGGACAGGAGCGUGGAUGAAGCCGCCGUCUGUCGUGAUGGUCAUGAAAUUGCGGUCGUUGUCACCCUGCAUUUGUAGCGUUUCAUCUAUCUCACUGUUGGACGGUUGAUAUCUGACGAAGAACUGCCCCGAGGUAUGAAGGACAUCUUGAUGGAUGAUGUCCGCAAACUCCAACUGGAUGCGAAAGAAUUCUUGUCUGAGGUCCGCGUCCUGGACUGCCGAUAACCUCGCGGCCCAAUCUUUGAGAUUAUCUGGUAGCAGAAGUUGAUGAUGGUCCCUUACGAUCACCCGCAUGUGAUGGAGGGUGUAGUAGGCAUCCUUCUGACCGCCAGGCGGCGGCUUGACACAGCAGAACUUCGUAUUGUGUGAGAACAUGUGCUUGCCGUACUUACGAACUGCCCUGGUGAAGGUGCCUCCAGAUUUGGCGUAGCCGGGGAAAACAUCAUCAAGAACUUUCUUGACAUUUGUGUAGUCUAUCUUGGAGUUACGGUUCGGGUCGAAAUACGUGGCCAUGGAAUAUUUCGGGCUUAAGAGGAUGAGUGUGCAACGUGUGUCACUGCACAGAACACGGAAUGUUAGAAAAAAAAGAACGAUCAAAAUCUAAGAAAUCAUAUGUUACGGGGCGGUUAAGGGAUGACUUACUCGGGAAAGUUAGCCACAAGGAAGUUAUCCUUAUCUGGGUUUGCCAGAAUGACGCCUUCGAGGUGUGAACUCGCAACUUGGCGGUCCCCAGCGCUGUUCAAGUGCUUGGCACGCAUGUAGAAGGGGUCGACUAUCACGAUGUCCGGGGUCUUGUCUCUAAUGAUCCGCAUCUCCAUACUCAGCGAAAACAGCCGAACGAAUGUGUAGUGCAGCGGAUGAAGGUUAAACAUAGCAAAGAUGUCAUCAAACCGCAGGACGAUCGUACCCCCGAUGUCGCCAUCCGCAAAGCCCUUGCCCUCUGGCACCUUGGCCACGAAAACCGGGUAUGCCACAUCAUUCUCUCUCAGACGCCGCUUCUCCAAAGAAAGAACACUGUCGUGCAGACUCCGCAUAGCACCGGUUGUAGCAUUUAGCAUAUUUGGCGGUAGCAUCGCCCUACCCACCACAUGCACCCUCCUCGAGAUAUCCUUAGGUGAAGGUGGCCCGUCCUGAGCACGGAUCGAACUCGGUGCCGGCUGGCUCGCACCGGCGCCCUUGUUAGUCUUUCAUUUCCGUCCCUUCUUCUUGAUCUCCUGUAAUGGGACCGAGUUCUGCUCACAGACCGCUUUCUUGAGCGUGUUGGGGCUGAUAAUAUUUCGCACCUCAGCUAUCUGAGGCUCGGUGAAGGCGGGAGCUGGAGGCGUCUCCUGAGAACUGAACGGCAGACGACGCCUAUUGCAAUUGGAUUUCUCCGCCGUACCAGCUAGAUUGCGGUCGUCUUGGUUGGGUUCUUGAGAAAGAGGCCCGCAGAACUCGUCAGCGUACCCAUGUUCGGCAAAGUACUUAUCGACUUUGGUAAAUGUACCGUCGUCGUUGUCGUCGUCGUCCGGAUCCUGUGCCAUAGGGCUGUCUGGAUCCUAUGCCAUAGGGAUGUCUGACAUAGGGAUGUCCGGCAGGUCCGGUAGCGUUGCGGCGUUCUUGCCAUGGCUUGGCGCUGGCACGACUGGCGGUCUUGUUUGUCGGGUGGUGUCCCCCGCCCCCAAACGAAUCUGACUCUUCGGCCAAAGCAGCGGCCAGUUUACGCAGGCGCUGAGGGUCAUCUCAUCUUCUUCGUCGGCCCCAGCGGAUCGAACCGGAGGUAACAGCUCGUCGCAGCCUAGCAGCACCCGAACCACUUCAACCCUAUACACUAUGGGUGGCAUCGGAUUACCGUGGAACAUGCGAUUGCCCGGUUGAACGAUUCUGCCCUUGGCGACAUCGACCAACUCGGCGCCCACGAAGUGCAGAAGAGUGCAAGGAACGUCGGCGGUGCCCUGCGAAAACAUGUACAGGGCGUCAGGGAUGCCCAGUCAAAGGCAAGGAGAUGAAGUCAUCGGCCGAAAGGCUUAGUUACCGUGAUGCCAUCGAGCUCGGCUAAUGUCGAGGCACCGCCAACGGCGGGCAUGCAACUGACGGAGGGGGAGCUUGCUGGCGAGGUGCCGGUCGGCGUACACCCGGGUGCAUUAAGCUCCAAUGCCCGUGCCGGCGCCGGAGACACGAAUACCGCCUCCGCCGAAGACACCAAUGGCGCCGCCGCCGGAGACACCAAUGGCGCCGCCGGAGACACCAAUGGCGCCUUCUGCGUGUUGUGCGAGUUGCUGGCCGUGAAGCUGGGAACCGGGGGAGGCCCCUGUUGGCCGCCCGCAAUCCACGUCGUCAGCCCAUGAAUCAACGUAGGCACCAUGGCGUUGAGCUUCGUUCCCAGUUGUUGUUCCACUUUCUCUUGGACAAGCUCCGGAAUCCGUGCCACUUGUGCCUUGAGUGCUUCAACCUCGCACGUCUGGCUUUCCGAGCUGGCCUUUUUCUCCUUCCGCACACCACCGGUAUAGUAUGACCCCCUUUUUGUGGACAAGCCUUUGCCGGCCACACGACCAGCUGACGUCGGCUUAGUGAGCUUAUCCUUGCUUUUCAUUAUGUUCAACGCCCUAUUUAAAGGGCUGUCGAAAGGGGAGCUCUGAGACGACCCCGCGCUACUACUUUCAGUUUCCUGCGAAAGGAACGUGAACCAUUUAGAAAUAUUGGGGAUUAGUUAGAGUGCAACCAUAUGGAGCUAAUCACGCGGGGGUGUAUUCCUUACCAGAACAAGCUCAAGCGCCCUGGUCUUCGGAUCCGUGGUAAGCUCCUUUGUUAUCGGGUCCUCCUUGUACCGGGCCCUGACAUAGUUCCUGGUCUGCUUGUUACCGCUGUAUUUCUCGAAGAAGGGCGAUAGGCCUUGCUCGGCACGCUCCGCGUCCUCCUUGUCCCAUAUAGGCUCUGCCACUCUGUAACCGCCGGGACCGAGUUUGUGUUCCACUAAGUUCAACUCCCGCAUUUCUUUCCCCCACUGACUUGAUUCGGUGGUUGCACUGCUCUCGCACUUUAUCUUGAACUCCUUGUAGUCAUCUUCGCUCAUCAAAGGAUAUUUCGCCUUGAUCUUCUCAUAACUAUCACCUUUAUCAAUCAUUCUCCUCACCGCGCUUCUCCAAGUAGAUAGGGCCGUGCUCAUCUUCGUGAGGGCGGCACUGUUCACUUUAUUCCCUGAGAGGCGUGUGUUUUGAAAUUCGGCGGGGAACUUGUAUCAUUCGUGCAGCUUCGUGAAGAGGAGGUUGCGCAAAUUCCCUCAGUCCUUAUGCCUAAGGUUCUCGGUGUUGAUCGAGACGGUGCUCCGGAGAAUGCACCCGAGCUAAACCGAGUACCCCUUGACUAUAUGUUUGGGCUCCGUUGGAUUCCCGUCGGAGUCCACUUGAGUGAAUUCCUCCUUGAGGGUGCGGAGCGCAUUCGGGCGCCGGUCCUUGCUUUGCUUCUUCGGUUGGCUGCCAUCUGUGUGUGCGCCGCCAUCAUCAGUGGUGGCAUCCUCGGCGGCACCAUCAGUGGUGUCAUCCCCGACGCCACUAGGGGUUUUGUAAUCAGUAUCGGUGUCUUCCGCGACGUCCUCAUAGCAGUGAGGUUGUUCCUCCAUCUCUUGGGACAGCUCCCAGAAUUGCUUGCCGCCCGAACCGCCAGCCUCAUCAUUGUUGGCCAUGUUUCGCUUUAAAUAGGAAAACAGUUUGGUCAAAAAGUUGGUUAUUGUCAAGGAACAAGAUCAUGGUCUCAUCAUUUAGGGUUUGUCGAUAGCGAGGCAUCCUAAAAGCUAAACUUUUAUCAUUUAGGGUUUGUCGACGCCAAGGCACCCUAAAAGCCUAAGCCGAGGCACCCUAGGUUGGGCCUAAUCACUUGGCACUAAUCACUUGGCUCUAUUGCUACCUAUGGUUUAAUGCAGCAAGAAUGGCGGGGCAUUUGAUCCUACUUAACUAAGUACUAAGAUACCCCGGACCAUGCAUUAGUCGCAAGUACCCCAUAUGUCCUAUUUUUAGCAAAGUCAUGCUAAAAUUUCGGCAUGACCUUUGCUGAAAAUAGGACAUAUGGAGUACCCGAAUUUGCCGGAACAGAAGUUAAUCAACAUUCCGGCAAACUCAAGGGCCACUCGGGGUACCUGCAAAUUCAUCACGACACGAUGGUCGGAGACAAAACCCAGCAAACUAGCAAGAUGAUCAUCAUCUUUGCAAGAUAGUAGCUCAAGGUUUUGACAGUAGCCUCUGAAGAAAACAACAUUGCAACAUUCAAGUUCACAGGAUAAAAAAAUCAUCCACAUUCACCAACCCACAUGAUGUUAAAAGCCACAUGAGCUGUAAACAGACUUAAAAAACCCACAUGAUGUUAUAACUGUAUACACUGAACAUGAUGAUACCAAAUGGGAAGGAAAAUUGUAUCACUCUAGAUUAGUGUAGCCACUAUCUAACAAAACCAGGAUGUUAACAAAAUUACACCAUGAUGGCCCCUUACGAAGCUUUGUAUGGAAGGAGGUGCAGGACACCGUUGCUAUGGGAUGAAGUUGGAGAUCGUCAGUUGUUUGGACCAGAUUUAAUUAAAGAGUCUGAAGAUAAGGUUAAGCUGAUUUGCGAUAGACUCAAGGUAGCCCAGUCCAGGCAGAAGAGCUAUGCGGAUUCUAAACGCAAAGAGAUAGUUUACGAAGUCGGAGACAGAGUAUAUCUUCGUGUGUCCCCACUUCGGGAAGUUAAGCAUUUUGGAGUUAAGGGAAAGUUAGCACCACGUUUUGUGGGACCAUACAAAGUUUUGGAGCGUAUGGGAGCGUAUGGGAUAAAAUGACUUCUCCGAAAUAAAGAAAUAUUGGAGGAAAAAUAUUAAAAUCAAAUAAGAAUUUUAUUCGGAGUUUUAUUGCUAUUUCAUUCGAAGUUGGAAAAAAAUGUGUUUUUCAAAAUUGCAUUAGAGGCCCAAAUAAAUGUUCACUUUGUCUGCAAUAUUAUUAGAGGAUCGUCAAAAUGUUUUUCAGGAUUUGUGGAGUCCGUUAAGUAUUUCUUUGAUUAGUUUUUCUACGUCGGGAUUAUUUAAAAAAAAGUGAAUCGACCUAACCGGGCCGUGUCCGGCUAGGACUCCCGACCCGGCCGGCCUUAUAAGCCGCCAGCCCACCCCGCCCCNNNNNNNNNNNNNNNNNNNNNNNNNNNNNNNNNNNNNNNNNNNNNNNNNNNNNNNNNNNNNNNNNNNNNNNNNNNNNNNNNNNNNNNNNNNNNNNNNNNNNNNNNNNNNNNNNNNNNNNNNNNNNNNNNNNNNNNNNNNNNNNNNNNNNNNNNNNNNNNNNNNNNNNNNNNNNNNNNNNNNNNNNNNNNNNNNNNNNNNNNNNNNNNNNNNNNNNNNNNNNNNNNNNNNNNNNNNNNNNNNNNNNNNNNNNNNNNNNNNNNNNNNNNNNNNNNNNNNNNNNNNNNNNNNNNNNNNNNNNNNNNNNNNNNNNNNNNNNNNNNNNNNNNNNNNNNNNNNNNNNNNNNNNNNNNNNNNNNNNNNNNNNNNNNUGCCACUCACCGCCGCCGCCGCCGCCACCGCCGCCACUCGCCGCCGCCGCCGCGCACAGCCCCGCCGCCACUCGCUGUCGGUACCCUCUUGAUCGGCGCAAUGCCAAAACCAUUAGGGGGCUUCCUGAUCAUAUUUGAAUCCUAGUUUAUCCCCUUUUGGUCCGGAUUACUGAUCGAAUUCGAAUCAGAAGCCUCGCCUUUUCUCUCUGUUUGACUUAAGUUUUUGAAAACAGUCUUUUGGGUUUGUCUUGAGACUUUUUGCUCAUAUCUGAAGCAUAUAUGUGUGGUUUCUAUUUAACCCGGCUCGACUUUGGAUGAUAAGUCGCCAGCAUAUGACAAUAUUAAUACUUGGAAGGUUUGGCUUCUAAGUUUUGGGUUAUCACCCUUACUGCACAGGUAUCAUAAAUCGGCAGUGCGAUUCAAUAUCACAGGUAUGAUAUUGUUUAUACAUGAUUAUGUUUAAACCGGUCCUCACUAUGGACUUUAAGUCGCCGGUAUAUUUUGGAUUGCGCCAUUCGAAUCAUGCGCUUAUCAAUCAUUGGAUUAUUGCCCUUAUUGGAUACGGCGAUGUAAGCCGGCAGUAUGAGCCAAUUUCUACAGGUAUGUUUUCAUGAUUAUAUAAAUAUAUGAGGUUGGAUAACCAGCCUUCGCUGUUGACGUUAAAUCGCCAGUAUGUUUAGGCUUGAAUGGCCUUAAUCCUAGUCUUUUCCAUAAUUUCAUAAAGAUUAUAUUAUGUUUGGGUUGUUACCCGCCCUGGCUUUGACUGUAACACCCCGAGUUCGAUGCGACAGGUGUCUGCCAGUUAUUUGCCGUUGUUGCCAUGUCAUUUGCUUGCGUGUUGCAUUUCAUCUUGUCAUCAUGUGCAUUGCAUUGCAUACGUGUUCGUCUCAUGCAUCCAAGCAUUUUCCCCGUUGUCCGUUUCGCGAUCCGGCACUCCUAUGCCCUCCGGCAUUCCCCUUUUUGUCUCUCAUUGUGAUUGGCUGUUAAAAUUUCUCGGAAUAGCCCGAGGCUUGCCAAGUGGCCUUGGUAUAGCACCGGUAGACCGCCUGUCAAGUUUCGUGCCAUUUGGAGGUCGUUUGAUACUCCAACGGUUAACCGGGUAACCGUAAAGCCCCCUCUGUAUUUGCAGCCCAACACCACUUCCAAAGUGGCCCAAAACCAAUAUAACUCCUCUCCAUGCUCUCGGUCGUUCGAUCACGAUUGUGUGGGCGAAAACCGCUCCUCAUUUGGACUCUCCUAGCUCCCUCUACCUAUAAAUUAGUCCACCUCCCUCGAAUUUGCGGAUGAAGCCCUAGAUCUCCUCCCUCUCCGCCGCCGGACAUGUCCGCGUCGCGCCAGACAUGUCCGCCCCGCCCGCCGCAGCCAAUCGGCAAGCGCCACCUGUCCCCGCCGCCGUCCUGCGCCGCCCGGCCCGUCGGGGCCCGGAUCCGACCCACCGUGGGGCGAAUCGGGCCCGANNNNNNNNNNNNNNNNNNNNNNNNNNNNNNNNNNNNNNNNNNNNNNNNNNNNNNNNNNNNNNNNNNNNNNNNNNNNNNNNNNNNNNNNNNNNNNNNNNNNNNNNNNNNNNNNNNNNNNNNNNNNNNNNNNNNNNNNNNNNNNNNNNNNNNNNNNNNNNNNNNNNNNNNNNNNNNNNNNNNNNNNNNNNNNNNNNNNNNNNNNNNNNNNNNNNNNNNNNNNNNNNNNNNNNNNNNNNNNNNNNNNNNNNNNNNNNNNNNNNNNNNNNNNNNNNNNNNNNNNNNNNNNNNNNNNNNNNNNNNNNNNNNNNNNNNNNNNNNNNNNNNNNNNNNNNNNNNNNNNNNNNNNNNNNNNNNNNNNNNNNNNNNNNNNNNNNNNNNNNNNNNNNNNNNNNNNNNNNNNNNNNNNNNNNNNNNNNNNNNNNNNNNNNNNNNNNNNNNNNNNNNNNNNNNNNNNNNNNNNNNNNNNNNNNNNNNNNNNNNNNNNNNNNNNNNNNNNNNNNNNNNNNNNNNNNNNNNNNNNNNNNNNNNNNNNNNNNNNNNNNNNNNNNNNNNNNNNNNNNNNNNNNNNNNNNNNNNNNNNNNNNNNNNNNNNNNNNNNNNNNNNNNNNNNNNNNNNNNNNNNNNNNNNNNNNCCAGCCUCCUCUGCCCCGCGGGUUCCCAUGCCCGGCCUUGCCGAUCCUCGCCGCCGCGGGUGGCCGCGCCGCCCGGCCUCCUCCGCCCCGCGGCCGGAUCCGCCCCUCUCCGGUCGCCCCGGCCCCGUCUUCCCCGCCUCCGGCCCCGUCCACUCCGGCGAGAAGACCGGCGAACCUCGGGUUCCGUGCCGAUCUGGAUCUGGAAGGUUGACCUCCCCCCCCCUCCGUUUGCACUAACUCCCCAGAUUCUGUAAUUUUCAUGCCAUGUUCGUCAUGCCGUAUCUUUGCAUCCGUAUCUCUGUUUAGUGCGUGUAAUAUGUCAAAUUGUUCGUCUCAACGAGUACAUCAUUUCAUUGCUUUGCAUCAUAUUCAUUUGAGGUCAUCUUGAUGCCUGAAUCAUCGUUGUAAGAGUGCUUCAUGAUGUUUUCUGCUGCCUGUUAACAGAACGAGCUCUUUUGUCAUUUUUUCCAUGAUUGAUGUGUGCAUCCUAUGAGGUUGAUGUCUAGAUGUGUUUUGAACUAUGCCAUGUCUUCUUUACAGAGGUGCUUACCAUGUAUUUUUGUGAUCAAUGUGGUGACUAGCACAAGCAUGCAAACUAGGCGUCGUGAUGUUACUGAUUUUAGUCCCUGUUCUACUGUUGUUUUGAUGCCAUGUAAACUUGAUGCUACAUAGAGAUCCAUGCAUAUUUUGAGAUACUUCAGUAAGGGUGUUCUAAACAUGUGGUUAAUGUCUAUCCAUGCAUGCCCUUUGUUGCAAUUAUGGAGUAGUCUAGCAUGUCAUUUUUGUGCUCUACUUUUGCUUCAAAAUGUUUCCUGGCAGAUUGUUUACAUGUUAUUCAAUUUGGCCAAGCUUGCUAUAGUUGAUCCUUGCAUGCUAUGGACUUGUACUUGCCUUGGUUGGUUGCACAAACAUGUCUUCUUGAUGAUGCUAUGCUUAUCUUGUCAUGCAAUGGCUUGUGGUGAGUGAAUCGAGCUUGUUAAGUAGUGUUCAUGAUGUUGCUGUUUUGCUAGGCUGAAUCUGUUAUUUCGUGAUGCUAUAUAAACCUGCUCCUACUAGUCAUUCUAUGCAUAAUCUGGAGAUGCUCUAUAAACAUGUUUUGAUCUACAUGUCAUCCUCUAACCAUACAUACCCCUGAUUGCAUUUAUAGCUUGCUGUAGAUUAUUCAUAUCUUGCUCUAAAGUUGCUUCAUAAUGUUGCUGUCAGCCUGUUUACAUUAAGUUCACUUGUUCCCAUGUGUUUUGCUAGUGUUCCAUGUACCCUAUGACCUUGCUCUUGCCAUGCCUAGCUUCUCAAAUAUGCCUUCUUACUGUUGGUUGCCUUGCCAUGCCAUGUAUUGCUCUGUAGUGAGUUGCACAAGCUCAUCUACAUGCCUUAAUAAUUAUGUUUCUGCCAUGCUUGAAUCUGUUUAAUAACUUGCUAUGUUUACAUGAGCGCCAUCAUAUCUUCUGAUCCUUUUUGGCUUAUGGUCAGUAAGGGACUCUUGAUCUAUGCAAUUAGUAGAUUCAUGCCAUGCCUUUGUUUGUCAUAAUAAGUUCCUGUAACAUGUCGUUUGAUAGCUCUAAACAUUGCAACCUGAUAUUAUUUUCUGCAAAGUCUGAAAUUGUUAUAACUUGCAAUCUUAUCAUGUGUGUUCGAGCAUGUUCUAGUGAUUUAUGGAGAUAUCUCAGUGUUCAUGUUUUGUUAUGCUUUACAUGUACUUCAUGCCCAUGCCUUUUGUUAUUAUAUUGUGGUGUUGUAGCUUGUUGUUUUGAUGCUUGCAAUAUGCCUAGUUGCUGUUUUGGACAGCUUGUCCCUUUAAACUUGUAUAGUGUGUGUGUGUUGCACCAUUGCUCCGUUUUGAGUGUGCUCUAUAUCAAACUUGCUUGAUUUUGCAUGUACUUUCAUAUUAUCAUGUUGCAUCCUUGUUUUGAGGUGUUUUCUUGAUGUUUGGGUGCAUUUUGCAUAAAUGCCAUGUUUAACUUGUUUUGCUCAUAUCUUCUAGGCCGUAGCUCCGAAUUAAAUGAACUUUAUAUGUAACUUGACUAGAAUCUCGUGUAGAUCAUCUUUGUGCAUCUUAACUUGAUGUUUAACUACUUGAACAUAAGGUUUAUUCAGAUCUGGACCAAUUUCGAAAUAUGCAUAUGAGGACUUACCGGAAUUGUUAUAUGUUGUUCCCGGCCUCAUUUAAACUUGCCUUAAUGUGCUGCUCUUGUUUGCAUCAUCUCUUGCCAUGAGUAGCUUCAUUUAGCUUGGUCAUGCAUCAUGCUUGUUCGUGCAUCAUGCCUUGUUCAUGCGUGGUGUGUUUACCAUGUUGUGUGCUUCUUUUUGAUAGUUCCUGUUUCGUUGCGAUCGUGAGGAUUCGUUCGUCUACGCUUGGUUCGGCUUCAUCCGUUCGUCUUCUUCAUGGACUCGUUCUUCUUCCUUGCGGGAUUUCAGGCAAGAUGACCGCUACCCUGGAUCUCACUACUAUCAUUGCUAUGCUAGUUGCUUCGUUCUAUCGCUUUGCUACGCUACCUAUUACCUGUUUAUCAAGCCAUCCCAAAUUGCCAUGAACCUCUAACCUUUGACACCUUUCCUAUGCAAACCAUUGUUUGGCUAUGUUACCGCUUCGCUCAGCCCUCUUAUAGCGUUGCUAGUUGCAGGUGAAGUUGAAGAUUUCUCCAUGGUGGACAGGAUUUUGGUUGGGAUAUCACAAUAUCUCUUAUAUUAUUAAUGCAUCUAUAUAUUUGGUAAAGGGUGGAAGGCUAGGCCUUUUUCCUGGUGUUUUGUUCCACUCUUGCUGCCCUAGUUUCCGUCAUACCGGUGUUAUGUUCCCAGAUUUUGCGUUCCUUACGCGGCCGGGUGAUUUAUGGGACCCCCUUGACAGUUCGCUUUGAAUAAAACUCCUCCAGCAAGGCCCAACAUUGACUUUUACCAUUUGCCUCACCACCACCUACUUUUCCCUUGGGAGUCGCUCUCUCAAGGGUCAUCUUUAUUAUAGCCCCCCCGGGCCAGUGCUUGUCUAAGUGUUGGUCCGAACCAGAGCCACUUGCAGCGCCACCUCGGGGAAACUUGAGGGUUGGUUUUAGUUGUACGUAGUGUUCAUCCGGUGUUGCCCUGAGAACGAGAUAUGUGCAGCUCCUAUCGGGAUUGUCGGCGCAUCGGGCGGUCUUGCUGGUCUUGUUUUACCAUUGUCGAAACGUCUUGUAAACCGGGAUUCCGAGUCUGAUCGGGUCUUCCUGGGAGAAGGUCUAUUCCUUCGUUGAUCGCGAGAGCUUGUCAUGGGCUAAGUUGGGACACCCCUGCAGGGUAUAAUCUUUCGAAAGCCGUGCAUGCGGUUAUUGGCAGAUGGGAAUUUGUUAAUGUCCGGUUGUAGAUAACUUGACACCAGAUCCGAUUUAAAAUGCAUCAACCGCGUGUGUAGCCGUGAUGGUCUCUUUUCGGCGGAGUCUGGGAAGUGAACACGGUUUCUGGGUUAUGUUUGACGUAAGUAGGAGUUCAGGAUCACUUCUUGAUCAUUGCUAGUUUCACGACUGUUCUGCUUGCUCUCUUCUCGCUCUUAUUUGCGUAUGUUAGCCACCAUAUAUGCUUAGUCGCUGCUGCAGCCUCACCACUUUACCCCUUCCUUUGCCUUUAAGCUUUGCUAGUCUUGAUACCCAUGGUAAUGGGAUUGCUGGGUCCUCGUGGCUCACAGAUUACUACAACAACAGUUGCAGGUACAGGUUAUGCGAUGAUCAUGACGCGAGAGCGAUGCUUGCUUGUGUUGAGUUCUUCUUCUGCUUCUUCGAUCAGGGGAUAGGUUCUAGGUCGGCAGCCUGGGCUAGCAGGGUGGAUGUCGUUUGAGUUUCUGUUUGUGAUUCAUCCGUAGUCGGAUGAUGCUCUUAUGUAUUGUGAUGUUGUAUUCGUGUGGCAUUGUAUGCCUCUUGUAUGUAUCCCCAUAUAUUAUCUAAUGUUGAUGUAAUGAUAUCCACCUUGCAAAAGCGUUUCAAUAUGCAGGUCUAUCCUUGGUGGGACCUUCGAGUUCCUUUUGGAUAGGGUCGCAUAUUGGGCGUGACAUUGACGUUAAGUCGCCGGGGCAUAUGUCGUUUAAACUCUAUGCAGGAUUUGCAGAAAUAUGACUUAUAUAAUUGAUUAAGUUCAAGCUCAUCAUCAAAAUGAUUACCCGUUCUGGAUUUUCUAAAAGGCUAUAAGCCGCCGGUUUAUAAAAAUUCCGGCUUACAAUGGAGGCGUAUUAAAAUGCCAUCGGCUAAGAGCCGUCGAGUAUUUAAACUCCGGAUUUACUUGUCAACCGAUAAGUGUUAUGAUUGAGGUUUUCAAAGUUGCUUUAGCGCAAUGGCUAUUAGUUUAUCAAUGGAUACGAUUUAUUCUACAAUGGAAGGAGUAGUCCCGAGUCGCUGCAGGCUUACGACCCAGCAGUUGGGGGCUACAUUACUCAGAUUGAGAUUACAUCAAAUAUGCAAGUCCCAUGUCACUGCCAUCAUGCACCAUGGCACUUGGGGGCUAAUGCAAAGUCAUUUUUUGGCUCCACUUUACUGAAGAUCUGACUCAUCACAUUGUAAUGAGCCGGCCCUUGGGGAUUACCAAUUGCCCCUAUCAAAAAUUCAAGGUACACAAGCCUUGGUCCAUUAUAUUGAAAGAUCCACUACUUAGUUGGUAGAGUACAAAGCUCUUAAUCUCUUAUGAACGUGGGUUCAAGCCCCUGGAGAUUACAUCAUAUGAUGUUAUUAUCAAUGAAUUAUAUACAAAGUCCCAGCUCAGUAUUAUCUUACUGAGCCGGCCCUUGGGGGCUACAUGUUGCUGCUCAAGUCUACAUGAUCAUAUUUAAAAAGUCCCUGCUCAUUAUUGCAUAAUGACCCGACAGUUGGGGGCUACACUGGUUGAAUUCUUUAUGAGCAUAAGGCAAUUACAAGUCCCAGGUUGCUGCAAGCAUGACAACCCAGCACUUGGGGGCUGUAGGUGAUAUACAUAUAAGGGACAAAAAUCUUCAAAUUCUCAGUUUUGAGCAGACAAUAUUGACCCGGUGUCUGCAACAAUCAUGACCCGGCGUCAACAAUGAUUAUGACCCGGCGUCGGCAACAAUUAUGACUCAGCAUCAUCUAUUUAUAACCCGACAAUUUUGGUAAUCAUAAAUUGGCAAGUUUCUAAAUCUUUAAGCCGACUAAAAAUCAGAUGAGUAUUUCAAGACCAAUAUUUUUGUCAAGUCAGAGCAUUGAAGGCCGACUCAAAUGGAUUAUUUCUUAUAAUAUUUCUCUACAAGAGCCAAUGUCAGCAAAUUGACUAUGAAGCUGGCCUAUUGACCCAGAUUUUUCAGAAGAAGUGCCCGGAUUUUUUGCAUUGGCAAAGUUUGAAUAUAUCUUCUAAAAUAGAUUUUCUAUGAGAUCAUGGACACGCUUCCAGGAGGAAAAUAACAAGGAAUUUAGGUUGAUCAGGUGCCGGCUUAUAAGAACUCUUAACUCGGAGCACAACCUGUCAAAUUUGUUCUUGAGUUAUUCCGCAGGAUGAGUUUCACAUGGAUAAAUCCAAAUUAAAUUGGGGGCUAAUGUCGGGGAUAUACCCCGAGGUAUGAACUGGCCAGAAAUAUGACCCGACCGGACUUGGCGGCUCACCAGAGACCCGGCUGACACUUGGCGACUCACUGGUCUGACGAAACUCAUGAUCCUGACGACUCACUAAUGGCCCCGAUGGCGGUUCAUAUAGAGUACUAGGCCCAAGGCCCAGAAGGCCGGCUCAUGUUAUGAUGGGUCGGCUUAAGAGGAAAGCAUAAGAAAUAUUCCCUUACAAAGGAAGCAAGACUAGGACUGCACUUGUAAUAGACUAAUCCUAAUCAUACUAGGACUAGUCAUGUAACCCGCCCCUUCAACUUAUAUAAGGAGGGGCAGGGCACCCCAAGAGGGACAAGCAAGAAAAUAAUCGCUAAGACUAGACACAACUAAAGGGGAGCCGGCUUAUGCAGCGACUCCCUCAUGAGCAUAAUGAGAGGCGUGCAUGAUGACAUAAACCUAACCUUCUCAGCUUUUUACCAGGGCAUGGUGAGGCCAUACCAUGGCACCAUACCAGGUGUCAUGUUUUUCAAGCACGCAUUUCAUUUUUCUAUAGUUGAUAACAUAGUAAACGACGUGUUUGUGGUUGAGUAUUGACACACAUUCCCUUGAAAUCUCUGCCCAUUCCUUGUAAAAGGCAUGAGAAUUUACUAAAUACCAUGAGCAUGGUUUUCCACACCAUUCUUGUUCACCUUUUUAUGCACCGAUUGUUCGAAUUUGAAUUAUGUGGAUUAAUGCCUAGAAAAUGCACAUAAUCCCCUAAAUAUGGUAAAUGAGCCCGGAAAAAUACCAAAUUUGAACACAUUGCAUUGGAGGGGGUAUGUUGAUUGUAGAAAAAACUGAAUGACAAACUAGGAAGGAAAUUUGGAAUCCCGGCCCCUACAAUCUUGGUAAUUUCCCCCUUGAGACCAUGAAACUUCCUCGGUGAUGGUUCGAUUUAUGAAGGGCGUGCACGACGACAUAAGCCAAACCAUCUCAAAUAUUUACCAGGGCAUGUUGAGGCCAUACCAUGGCACCAUGCCAGCCCUCAUGUUUUUCAAUCAUGUAUUUGAUUUUUCUACAGUUGAAAAACCAAUAAACGACGUGUUUGUGGUUGACUAUUGACACACAUUUCCGUGAAAUCUCUGCCCAUUCCUUGGAAAAGGCAUGAGAAUUUACUAAAUAGCACGAGCAAGGUUUUGCAGACCGUUCUCGUGCACCUUUUCAUGCAUCGAAUGUUUGAAUUUGAAUUAUGUGCAUUAAUGCCUAGAAAAUGCACAUAAUCCCCUAAAUAUGGUAAAUGAGCCCGAAAAAAUACCAAAUUUGAACACGGUAAUUUGCAGGGUUUAUGUUCAUCAUAAAAAAACUCAUGGACAAUGGACAAAGGAAAUUUGGAUUCGCCUUCAAUCUCGGUCAUUUACUAUAACACAUGAUUCGGUGUAUGCGAGAUUACCGUCCUAUCGCCAACCGACUAAUAUUGUUGUGAUGUAGGAAAUUUGAAACAGGGGCUAAGUUUGUAAAUUUCCUUGCAUUUCAGACAAGCGCGCCCUAAAGACAUGGUUCCCCCCUUCCUCUCUACCUCCAUUUCCCCAUUCGUACUCCGUAGGCGCCAAAACACCCUUUCCACCCCAGCCUCCUCCGUCCUCCACCCCAUCCACCACCGUCCUCCUCCACCAUGCCAGAGUUGAUACCCCGACGCCGCUAUCCAUUAGAAGAGAUCGACCUCUCUCAUCCAUGGCUUCGGACAAAGGAUCCUUGCAUCCUGUCCUCUCGCUUCAUCCCCGCCGUCAUCCACCUUGUCGGCGCCGCUCCUACGACCAUCUCGUCCACCGCACCCCGCCGCCACCGUCUACCCUCCUAGAUCUGCUUCCACGCAGCCAACAGCCAUCGCUACCGCAGCACCGUCAAAUUCUCAGCAGAUGCAUAGACGGCGCCGCACCAGAGGCGGUACUCUUUCGUAUCUGCUCAACUUAUUUAUCGCGGCAAUAAAAUAGAUCACCACUGCUUUACUCUGAUUUCUUGUCCAUCACUUACUUGCUAGUUGAAAGAAAACAUUGGUUGCAAAGUUGCCUUUGUCCGGUUUGCACCUUCAGAUCCGCCAUGGCACACUCAACACCAUACUCCCAAUGCUUAUGGUUUUCCCCUUUUAUAUUCCAGACUAGUUAAAUCACAAUAGACUAAAUUUCAAAAUUGGGUUAGUCGAUUUUUCAGAGCUCACCAGAGGUCGCCGGCGCGAAGGAAGGGGCUCGAGUGGGGACGGUGGUUGUGGGGUGCGGUGGUGGGGCCUCACCGAACGAAGAAAACUCGACGCGGGUGGGGACGGGGUGCGGGUGGGGGUGGUGGAGGACUAGAGAUGUUGGGGGCCGGUGGUCCGGCCGGCGGCCCGUGCGGUGUUCUGUAUGGGAAGAAUCAGAGACGAGGAAGAAGAAGGGUUAUGUGACACUCUAAAAUUUUUAUUUGGUUUUUAUCAAAAACUUUGUGGUUUUUGAGGAGAGGCUAUUUAAAAUUUUGCUUUUUCAAAAAAAAAACUUCCACUUAAAAACUUCCUUUGCCUUGGCAAGGAUUUUAUUUUUUUCAAACCUUGGUGUUUGAUCUUUUGAAUCUUCUUCUCUGUUGGUUGUCUCAAAUUUAAUUUUUGAGUUUAAUUUUUUUUUCUUUUAAAAUAAAGCUCUAUGAAAAUUUGGGAUUUCCAUAUCUUGGAACCAUCCUUGACUUGGCAUUCUUGCCCGUGUGAUAAAACCUCUCCAAAACCUCCCCUACACCUUGUGAUCAACCCAAGUUCUCUGUCCCAACUAAUCCAAACAAGUUUUGGAUUUUAUUCUAAUUAUUUUCCCUCUCAAAUCAAUUCUGAAAAUUAUUUGGAGCCUUAGUGAUUUUCAAAGCAAGUACUCUUUUUCAUUUGAGUUUUGACCUCACACCAACUCCCCUGGAUAGUCCUUUGUACCCACAACUCAGAACCAUCUUGAUCCACACCUUCUCUUUUCAAAAUUUUCAAAAUUCAGCCUCUGCAAGUUUGGACCAGAUUUGCCAAAUUUGAUGAAAUUCAUAUCUACACUCCCCCAAAAAUUCCACCAAAAUUCAGGCAACCUAUUUGAGCAAUGAGAAGCCACUCCACCAAGUAUCAUCUCAAGGAAAAAUCACCAGAGGCCAAUUUCAUUCUGUCGAACACCUUGCAAGCACUGCUGCUGUUCAAAAUUCAGAAACAUUCAGAGUUUAGUGUUGAUCUUCGACAGAGUUUCUGUCACGCGGCCACAGUGCACUUGGCGCGUUGCACGCGGCUCUUUCUCCCUGGCCAGCACCCCUGCACGCGCGCUUGGCGUCUUCCCGGCGUCGGUGGCGCCCCUGGCCGCCCGCGCCGGCGUGUCUUGCGGCGGCCGAGACCCCGUUACAGCCGUCAGGGGGCAAGAACGGUGGCUCAACGCCGUUCCGCGCCGCCCAUCGCUCCCUGGCUCUCCGCGUGGCCUCAUGCACGCUAGCGCACGCCCGUGCACCGCCACCGCGACCGGCAAGCACAGGACGCGCUCCCUGCCGCCGACGGGCCCGCGCCGUCCCGUUCUGUCGAACUCCCUCCUAAGCACCAAUCUCCAGCUCGUUUAGCACCAAAACGGACCCAGUAGACUCCCACGACGGUGCUCGACUCCCUAAUCACCCCCGACCGAGCACUGCGCCGCCGUAAUCGCUCGCCGGAGACCCCGUUCACGGCAACCGCCUCGGGCCGCCUAUAAAAAGGGCCCCCGAGCUCAACCUCGUGCACGCCUCAUCCCCACUCCGCACCAGCGCCACGCCAGGCCACUCGGAGGACCUCGAGGAGGUCUCCUCCCCCAGCUCCGGCCGCCCCGAUCCGCCUCGGCCUCCACCUCGAUUCACUCCGGUGAGGCCAUCUCCGGCGCCCAAACCCCGUCCAUUACCCUCUCUAGCUACCAGGAGCCUAACCCCUCUUCAAUUUAACCCUUGCAGCUCUCUCCGACCAGCCCCUCGACCACCCGAGCCGCCGUCCGCCAGAGCAAAGCUCGCCGUCGACGUGGUGCUCGCCGACCGCCUCCACCACCAUCAACCGACGCCGAAGGGUGCCCUGAGCACGGAGGUAUCCUCCGAUCUCUCUGCCUCGUCGUGGAUCGCCGCCGGCGACCACCGCGGCUCUCGGGCACCGGCGAACUCUGCCGCCCCGUUUGAACAUUUGAACCUGACGAGUGGGACCCCACCGUCAGCCUCUUUGCCCUUUCUAUCGAACCAUUUUCUGGAAGCGCCUUCGGGCAAAUACGUCUUUCCUCUGGGCUGGCGUAGUCGCUACCGAAGCGCUUUCUGUUUUUAUAAACUAGCCCCUGGAAAUCUUCUGUUUCAUUACAGAUGAGUCCCUGGACAAAAACCUUUAUAUCUUUUAAACAGAAAGGUAUUUUUGGUUGAUUCUUUUUCUGUUCUCUUUAAAAUUUUGUCUAGUUUUUUAUCAGAUUUAUUUGGAAAAUAUUUGGUGUACUUUCUGUGCACUCCUUGGUAUUUACGAUAGCACAUAUAUUUUCUUUAUAUCGUAGAUACCGAAGGAGGUGACGGAGCCGCGUACUUCACCGAGCUAGGCUCCGACUACUCCGAACCAGGCAAGCAUGUUUGAACUUUUGAUAUGAUGAGUGUCUUGGCAUGUUCUGCAUUUAGCUAGUUUCAUGUCAUGUUGAUGAGCAUACCGAUGAACGUCAUUUUAUGCAAUGUUGAGGUAAGUGAGUUCGAUGAUCCAUAAGUGGAUGAAUGUGAGUAAGAAUGGCCAUGUGUUGGCAUGAGGAUGGGUAAGAUGGCAGUGUUGUAGCAUGCCAGGCUUAUGCCAGACUACGUGACUUCAAUGUCAGCUCGUAUCACACCAGUUCCUUUCAUUCCGCCUUCCCUGUACUACCACAUGUUUUCCGCAAGGAAUAUGGUUUAGUAAGUUGCAAACUGCUUUUCUGGUACACACCAAAAGGAGAGGCCGUGAUGAUGGUUCCAUGGCCCUGGAUUAAAGCCAGUCAUCCGGUAGGGGGCAUGGGUGUUUCCGGUUGGGACCGAGAGGGGGGCACCCCUUAGAGCGCGCGUAUAUAAAUUUGAUCCCAUGCUAUUCGAGAUUGUGAUCUCCCCGUCUCAAAAGUUUUUCUUGGACGAUGUCUAGGGUGAUUCCUAGCAUCGAGAGGUAUGAUGGGUGUGUACUGGUUAGCUGUGUUUUCUUACGAAAUACCGGAAAUGGAACUAGUCCUUCGUGACUACGGAAAUCCGUUGGCUGUGGGAAUAAUUUUGUACAAACUCUGCAGAGUCAUAUAUCCCCUCCAAAUCAUCUAUUCCAUGUCCAAAUUCGUGUUAUCUUGUCCUAACAAUGACAGUUUUGAUGGCAGAGACUCCGGUGAUUCGCAUGAGUGCUAAUUCCGGUUAAAUGAAUAUUCCUGUGGAUGGACUAACCCAUUUAUUCUCAUGAAUUAAAUGUUUAUUAUGAGUAUUAUUUACUUAUGAAUCAAAGCCUUUUCUGUGAUGUCGCCCCGACGUCCGACUGUGGCAUUUCUUUUAAAGCCCUUCCUGUGAUGUCGCCCCGACGUCCGACUGUGGCAUUUCUUUUAAAGCCCUUUCUGUGAUGUCGCCCCGACGUCCGACUGUGGCAUUUCUUUUAAAGCCCUUUUCUGUGAUGUCGCCCCGACGUCCGACUGUGGCAUUUCUUUUAAAGCCCUUUCUGUGAUGUCGCCCCGACGUCCGACUGUGGCAUUCCUUUUAAAGCCCUUUAUGUGGUGUCGCUACGACGCCCGACUGUGGCAUCUUUUCCCUAUAUUUAUUUGUUCACCUUUCGAGGUGUCGCUUCAGACACCCGAUCGGUAAUUAUUCAUGCUUUGUUGGGGUUUCAGGCGGACUACCGCUGUUUCCCUUUUACUUACCUUGUUAUGCUAAUUUUGAAUGUACAUUGGUGAAUUUAUUCAUGUCGCAUCCAUGCACGCAUUUGUUAUAUCUUACGUCCGAACUGUCUUGCGAGUACUUUCAAAGUACUCACUGGCUUGUUGAUUUGGCCAGAUGCUGACGAAGGCGAUUUCAUGGAUGAAGAGUUCGAUAGUGAGUCCAACACUUAGAGGAGUCCCAGUCAGUCUCGUGCGACCCUGGAUUUGGUCACUGUUUUAUAUCCGCUUCCGCUACCAAAUAAAUUCAUCGAGCCUCACCUCGACGCUCGAUGAGAUGAUAGACUUAGAGUCUUGUAUUUCUCUCCCCACUGUGUUUUUCCACCACCGCCCUAUCCUCGAGUCAGUAGUAUGUCUCCACACCACUGUGUCAUGUCCGCCAUUAUGUAUAAUUAUUGGCGUGCUUGUAAUAAUUUGGUUGAGCAACCGCAGUUCGACCCUGUAAUAUAUUUUAUGCUACUGGCUUAUUGUAUCAAGAAAUUGUCUACCAGUGAGGAGGAUUUCUCUCAUACUAGACUCAAAAGAUUGGUUUCUCAAUAAAUAUUUUUAUUGGAAAACCGGUCGUGACAAGCUUGGUACCAGAGCCAGGCUGACUGUAGGAAGCCACUAGGUGCGAUCGCUAAUUGGUUAUUACCAUGAUAGAGCUAAUUUAUAUUUUUGCAAUUGUAGUCAUUUUCUGUCAGUCAGCAUAAAUUUAUGAUCUGACCAUGCAGAAUUUUUGCCUACUUUUGUAGAUGGCCGACAACAGCUGCGAGUCUCAGACCUUCGCCAACGUGCCCGAUGGGUUCGUCAAACUUCUUUCUUUCAUCGUUCAGGUCGCGAUGGGGCCAUCCGUGCGCCCAGUCUUCACACUCUGCCAGCACCGAGUCAACGACAGUCUGACCAUGCACCAGGCCGCGGUGCAGUUCAAGGGAGGGCGUGGUGAGUUACGCCGCUUCCGGUUCGUGGGAAGAGCAAUGCCUACGGAGAGGCAUGCUAUGCAGAUGGCAGCCCGCGAGGCGAUAGCUCGUCUCAGGGAUGUCCUUCCCGUGAUGAAGACUCGUCGUUACCGUUAUCUUCCGUGCCAUGUGCCUUACACCUGUCACUACGCAUACUCCUGCCCCAGAGGAGAACGAGACGAGGCUUUUGAGAUGCUCAUUGAGUAUCUCCGGGCCUUGGAGGCAGCCUUCGACAACCUGGUGGACGACUUCGUAGCUACCCGCAUGGACUCAGUUCAUGGCUGUGCUGCCAACAGCAGGGAGCUCCUACCAAUCGCACCGCCACUGACUUUUGUCUCGUCAUCAGCAUCUUUUACUCCUGCUCGUCGCCUGCCUUCUACCGAAGAAUUCAACCAGGUCAUUGCGCCCACUCCAGCGCGCACUGCACCAACCUUCGCGCCCACUCCUGUACGCGUUGCUUCGCCCCUGGCAACCGCUCCGUCCGCUCUGCGCAACACUACACGUAUGGAGCCCAUUAGCGAGGAGGAAGUCGAGUUCCCAACCUCGCUACGCCUCGCCCUCGGCAGGGCAAAGGAGGUCGUCAACAUCUCCUCCUGAGUACGCUUAGCUGCCGUGUAUUAUACCGCUUUGUAAGAUAUGUAUAUAGGUUGUGAGAAGUAGCCUGUUUGCGCAUCAUGUAGGAUCUGGGGAAGUGCACUAGCCUAAAUAACAUGUCAGGAUUAUGUAUGCAUAUCCUGAGUGAUGUAUUGUAUAAUUACCGCCCGCGUGUAAGAUAUGUAAUGAGUAGUCCUUCUUCGUGCGCACGUCGAUUUGUUUUCUUAAGUAAGCUGAGUUAUUUAAUUCUAUUUGCCAGCUUUAUGAAUUUAUGGUUUUGUUUUGCGACUCUUUCCGCUUUUCUUAUGAGUUUUACAAAAAUAUAUCCCCAGAGUGAAAAAUGUCUCGUCCUUGGACACGUUCCAUGCCAACUCCACCAGAGGAAAUUUAUGAUGCUCAACCCAACAACGAGUUCACUCAGGGACAGUCAAGCCAACAGGGCAGUGAAUCGGCACUUUCACAAAUGUGCCGCCUUUAUGAGCAGAGUCAGCAACAACAUCGCGAGAUGAUGAACCAAGUCAUCAACAUGGGGAAUCAUCAUGGACAGUAUCAGCAGCAUUCCAAGUUAUCUGAGCUACAGAAGACACGUCCUCAAACAUUUUCUCACACUGACAAGCCUCUUGAAGCCGAGGACUGGCUUCGAGAUAUGGAGAGGAAAUUAAUUAUUGCAAAGUGUUCAGAUCUCGAGAAAGUACUAUAUGCUCCACACUAUCUCACAGGAGCAGCCGCAUCGUGGUGGGAGAAUUUUCUGCACAUGCAUCCCAACGAAAAUGACAUAACGUGGGAGGAUUUCAAGGAAGGUUUCCGUGGUGCACAUAUUCCUAAAAGUAUUAUGAAAAUCAAGAAGAGAGAAUUCGAUGACCUCAAACAAAGGAACAUGACAGUGUCAGAUUACAACAGUCAAUUUACCCUAUUAUCCCGCUACGCCAAUGAGGAGCGUAUGACUGAAAUCAAGAAGAUGGAGAAAUUCCUUGACGGUCUAGCGCCCGCACUUAAAUGCCAACUGGUCGUGCACACUUUUCCUGAUUUUAAAACACUGGUGGACAAAGCCAUUACUCUGGAAAAUGAGAGACGCGGUCUGGAAGAUAUCCGCAAGCGAAAAAGGGACCAGACUACUCACGCUCGCAAUCACCGAAGUAAGACAGAUUUUCAAAAGGGUGGGACACACAAAUUCACAUCCAAUGUCUUACGCCCAAUCAAGAAUUUUCAUGCAAGGGACAAGGAAUUCACCUAUCGCCCCGGCGUUACUUGUUACGCUUGUGGAGAAGAAGGGCACUAUGCCAAACAGUGCCCCAAGCCAAGGAGUUCAACCCCAAAGCCGAACAACGGCGGCAAUAAUUCAGCGCCCAAGCGAAACAAUUUCAAUCCCAACAAUAACCACAGGAAGGGUCAUCUGAACCACGUAACCAAAGAGGAGGCACAAAAUGCUCCAGAUAUCGUACUCGGUACGUUUCCUGUCAACACAAUACCUGCAAUGGUUUUGUUUGAUUCUGGAGCUUCUCACUCUUUCAUUUCGAAAAGUUUUACUUUGCAAAAUAAGUUUUCGAUACUUCCUUUGGAGAAAUCCAUGAUCAUUAAGUCCCCUGGGAUUCAGCAAGUUUCUCAGAAUUACUGUCAGAAUGUGGUCAUUGAGUUCGAAUGAUUGGAGUUUCACGCAAAUCUUAUUGUAUUGGAAAAUAAAGGACUGGAUGUCAUCCUAGGGAUGGAUUGGCUAACCACCAAUAAAGGUUUUAUCGACUGUUUCAACAGGACCGUGAUUCUCACACACCACCAAGGGAAGACAAUAAGAGUAUCAACCAAGGAAGGAAAAAGACCCCGGCAACUGAGAUUAAAUAAGGUGGACGUUUCUGAGCUAAACAAGGUUCCAGUAGUGUGUGAAUUUCCAGAUGUAUUCCCUGAAGAGCUGCCAGGCAUGCCACCAGACCGAGAAAUAGAAUUCCGCAUUGAGCUAGCACCAGGAACCGCCCCCAUAUACAAGAAACCAUACAGAAUGGCACCAUCCGAGUUGGUCGAGUUGAAGAAGCAAAUAAAGGAAUUACUGGAAAAAGGAUACAUUCGAGCCAGCUCCUCACCUUGGGGAUCACCAAUUUUAUUCGCCAAAAAGAAGGAUGGAACACUAAGAUUGUGUGUUGACUAUCGAGCACUGAACAUGGUCACAGUCAAAAAACAAAUAACCGAUGCCAAGAAUAAAUGAUUUAUUUGAUCAGCUCGCUCAGGCCAAGGUAUUCUCAAAAAUUGACUUAAGGUCAGGAUACCAUCAAUUGAAGGUGCGAACGGAAGAUAUCCCCAAAACAGCCUUCACCUCCAGAUAUGGACUGUACGAGUUCACAGUGAUGCCAUUUGGAUUAACUAACGCCCCAGCAUAUUUUGUUCACCUCAUGAACAAAGUAUUUAUGAAGUUUAUGGACAAGUUCGUCGUGGUAUUCAUCGACGAUAUACUGGUAUAUUCCAAGACACCAGAAGAGCACGCAGAACAUCUCAGGAUUGUGCUAGGAGAGCUAAGAAAACACAAAUUGUAUGCCAAGUUCAGCAAGUGCGAAUUUUGGCUAAGACAAGUAGGCUUUCUAGGCCACGUACUGACCCAAGACGGUAUCGCAGUGGACCCAGAGAAAGUCAAGGCCGUACUUGACUGGAAGUCACCGGCCAGCGUAACGGACAUACGGAGUUUCUUGGGAAUGGCAGGAUAUUACCGCAGAUUUAUUGAAGGAUUUUCCACCAUAGCCAAGCCUAUGACACAGUUGCUCAAGAAAGAUAAGAAGUUUGAGUGGACAGAAGCCUGCGAGAAAAGUUUCCAAGAGCUAAAGCGGAAGUUAACAACAACACCGGUAUUAAUUGUACCCGACAUACACAAGAAUUUUGAAGUAUAUUGUGACGCGUCCAGAAAGGGUCUCGGAUGCGUGUUGAUGCAAGAAGGCAAGGUUGUCGCCUACGCUUCAAGGCAACUUCGCAAGCAUGAGGAAAAUUAUCCCACUCAUGACUUAGAAAUGGCAGCAGUUAUUCAUGCACUCAAGGAAUGGAGGCAUUUCUUACUUGGGAAUCGAUGUGAAAUAUAUACGGAUCACAAAAGUCUCAAAUAUAUUUUCACGCAGCUAGAACUAAAUUUACGGCAACGACGCUGGUUGGAAUUGGUAAAGGAUUAUGAUGUUGGGAUCCGUUACCAUCAAGGGAAAGCAAAUGUAGUGGCCGAUGCCCUGAGUCGGAACCUCAGCUCCGACGGGAACUAUCUGCACAGAUUGAGGGCCGAAUUCCAUCAAGAAUUUGCCAACCUCAACUUGAUGAUGGUAGCAGAAGGCACCAUAUCAAACUUGGUAAUACAACCCAACCUUGUGAAGAAAAUUAAAGAAGCUCAUCCCGGUCACCCCAGCAUUGAAGGAAUUAAAAGAAAGUUGAGUAUGGGCAAAGCCUCGGAAUUCUUCAUAGACAAUGAAGGAAUAUUAUGGUACGGAGAAAGGCUAUGCGUGCCAAACAUAGAAGACCUUAAACAACAAGUUUUAGCUGAAGCACACACCACUCCAUAUUCGAUCCACCCUGGAGGAACCAAAAUGUAUAAGGAUAUUCAGGAAAGAUUUUGGUGGCACUGUAUGAAGAGGGACAUAGCCGCCUUCAUUGCAUGUUGCGACUCAUGUCAACGCAUAAAAGCUGAACAUCAGAGACCAGCCGGACUACUGCAACCUAACAAAAUACCUGAGUGGAAAUGGGAUGAAAUAGGGAUGGAUUUUAUUGUCGGACUACCUCGGUCACGGCACGGGAAUGAUGCCAUAUGGGUCAUCACUGACAGGUUGACCAAAGUGGCACACUUUAUUCCAGUGAAGACAUCCUACACCACUCAGAGGCUUGCCAGGAUUUAUCUUUCCCGCAUAGUUUGUCUGCACGGUGUCCCGAAGACUAUAAUAUCCGACAGAGGCACUCAGUUCGUCUCAAGAUUUUGGGAGCAUUUACAACAGGCUCUGGGAACCCAACUAGCCUUCAGUACCGCAUACCAUCCACAGACUGAUGGACAAACAGAACGCGUAAAUCAGGUUUUAGAAGACAUGCUGAGGGCAUGUGUCCUCACCUACGGAACCAGUUGGGAAGAAAGCCUGCCAUACGCCGAGUUCGCAUACAACAAUAGCUACCAGGCCAGCCUACAAAUGGCACCAUUUGAGGCUUUAUACGGGCGAAGAUGUCGUACCCCGCUAAAUUGGUCAGAGACCGGAGACAACCGCAUAUUCGGGCCAGACCUGCUCAGAGAAGCCGAGGAAAAGGUCAAGCUAAUCAGAGACCGACUUAAGACCGCUCAAAGUCGACAGAAGAGUUAUUAUGAUCAGAAACAUCGUAGGGUCAGCUUCGAACCCGGUGAGUUCGUAUACCUGAGAGUAUCCCCUAUGAGAGGAUUGCAACGAUUUAAGAUUAAAGGAAAGUUAGCACCAAGAUUCAUUGGACCAUUCUGCAUAGUGGCACGAAGAGGCACUGUAGCCUACCAGCUAGACUUACCCGAAGACUUGUCCGACAUUCACGACGUGUUCCACGUCUCUCAAUUAAGGAAGUAUGUAAGCAACCCAGAGAAACAAGUAUCCCAUGAAAACAUUGAUAUGCAGCCAGACCUCACUUAUCGAGAACGUCCCGUAAGAAUAUUAGAGGAGUCUGAAAGGAGGACCCGACAGAAGACCAUCAAGUUUUUCAAAGUCCAGUGGAGCAAUCACACCGACAGUGAAGCAACUUGGGAAAGCGAGGAUUUUCUUCGGACUGAGCAUCCACACCUAUUUAAGGAUCAGCUGAAAUCUCGGGGACGAGAUUUUUCCUAAGGGGGUAGGUGUUGUGACACUCUAAAUUUUUUAUUUGGUUUUUAUCAAAAACUUUGUGGUUUUUGAGGAGAGGCUAUUUAAAAUUUUGCUUUUUCAAAAAAAAAAACUUCCACUUAAAAACUUCCUUUGCCUUGGCAAGGAUUUUAUUUUUUUCAAACCUUGGUGUUUGAUCUUUUGAAACUUCUUCUCUGUUGGUUCUCUCAAAUUUAAUUUUUGAGUUUAAAUUUUUUUUUCUUUUAAAAUAAAGCUCUAUGAAAAUUUGGGAUUUCCAUAUCUUGGAACCAUCCUUGACUUGGCAUUCUUGCCCGUGUGAUAAAACCUCUCCAAAACCUCCCCUACACCUAGUGAUCAACCCAAGUUCUCUGUCCCAACUAAUCCAAACAAAUUUUGGAUUUUAUUCUAAUUAUUUUCCCUCUCAAAUCAAUUCUGAAAAUUAUUUGGAGCCUUAGUGAUUUUCAAAGCAAGUACUCUUUUUCAUUUUAGUUUUGACCUCACACCAACUCCCCUGGAUAGUCCUUUGUACCCACAACUCAGAACCAUCUUGAUCCACUCCUUCUCUUUUCAAAAUUUUCAAAAUUCAGCCUCUGCAAGUUUGGACCAGAUUUGCCAAAUUUGAUGAAAUUCAUAUCUACACUCCCCGAAAAAUUCCACCAAAAUUCAGGCAACCUAUUUGAGCAAUGAGAAGCCACUCCACCAAGUAUCAUCUCAAGGAAAAAUCACCAGAGGCCAAUUUCAUUCUGUCGAACACCUUGCAAGCACUGGUGCUGUUCAAAAUUCAGAAACAUUCAGAGUUUAGUGUUGAUCUUCGACAGAGUUUCAGUCACGCGGCCACCGUGCACUUGGCGCGUUGCACGCGGCACUUUCUCCCUGGCCAGCACCCCCGCUCGCGCGCUUGGCGUCUUCCCGGCGUCGGUGGCGCCCCUGGCCUCUCGCGCCGGCGUGUCUUGCGGCGGCCGAGACCCCGUUACAGCCGUCAGGGGGCAAGAACGGCGGCUCAACGCCGUUCCGCGCCGCCCAUCGCUCCCUGGCUCUCCGCGUGGCCUCAUGCACGCCAGCGCACGCCCGUGCACCGCCACCGCGACCGGCAAGCACAGGACGCGCUCCCUGCCGCCGACGGGCCCGCGCCGUCCCGUUCUGUCGAACUCCCUCCUAAGCACCAAUCUCCAGCUCGUUUAGCACCAAAACGGACCCAGUAGACUCCCACGGCGGCGCUCGACUCCCUAAUCACCCCCGACCGAGCACUGCGCCGCCGUAAUCGCUCGCCGGAGACCCCGUUCACGGCAACCGCCUCGGGCCGCCUAUAAAAAGGGCCCUCGAGCUCAACCUCGUGCACGCCUCAUCCCCACUCCGCACCAGCGCCACGCCAGGCCACUCGGAGGACCUCGAGGAGGUCUCCUUCCCCAGCUCCGGCCGCCCCGAUCUGCCUCGACCUCCACCUCGAUUCACUCCGGUGAGGCCAUCUCCGGCGCCCAAACCCCGUCCGUUACCCUCUCUAGCUACCAGGAGCCUAACCCCUCUUCAAUUUAACCCUUGCAACUCUCUCCGACGAGCCCCUCGACCACCCAAGCCGCCGUCCGCCGGAGCAAAGCUCGCCGUCGACGUGGUGCUCGCCGACCGCCUCCACCACCAUCAACUGACGCGGAAGGGUGCCCUGAGCACGGAGGUAUCCUCCGAUCUCUCUGCCUCGCCGUGGAUCGCCGCCGGUGACCACCGCGGCUCUCGGGCACCGGCGAACUCUGCCGCCCCGUUUGAACAUUUGAACCUGACGAGUGGGACCCCACCGUCAGCCUCUCUGCCCUUUCUAUCGAACCGUUUUCUGGAAGCGCCUUCGGGCAAAUACGUCUUUCCUCUGGGCUGGCGUAGUCGCUACCGAAGCGCUUUCUGUUUUUAUAAACUAGCCCCUGGAAAUCUUCUGUUUCAUUACAGAUGAGUCCCUGGACAAAAACCUUUAUAUCUUUUAACCAGAAAGGUAUUUUUGGUUGAUUAUUUUUCUGUUCUCUUUAAAAUUUUGUCUAGUUUUUUAUCAGAUUUAUUUGGAAAAUAUUUGGUAUACUUUCUGUGCACUCCUUGGUAUUUAUGAUAGCACAUAUAUUUUCUUUAUACCGUAGAUACCGAAGGAGGUGACGGAGCCGCGUACUUCACCGAGCUAGGCUCCGACUACUCCGAACCAGGCAAGCAUGUUUGAACUUUUGAUAUGAUGAGUGUCUUGGCAUGUUCUGCAUUUAGCUAGUUUCAUGGCAUGUUGAUGAGCAUACCGAUGAACGUCAUUUUAUGCAAUGUUGAGGUAACUGAGUUCGAUGAUCCAUAAGUGGAUGAAUGUGAGUAAGAAUGGUCAUGUGUUGGCAUGAGGAUGGGUAAGAUGGCAGUGUUGUAGCAUGCCAGGCUUAUGCCAGACUACGUGACUUCAAUGUCAGCUCGUAUCACACCAGUUCCUUUCAUUCCGCCUUCCCUGUACUACCACAUGUUUUCCGCAAGGAAUAUGGUUUAGUAAGUUGCAAACCGCUUUUCUGGUACACACCAAAAGGAGAGGCCGUGAUGAUGGUUCCAUGGCCCUGGAUUAAAGCCAGUCAUCCGGUCAGGGGGCAUGGGUGUUUCCGGUUGGGACCGAGAGGGGGGCACCCCUUAGAGCACGCGUAUAUAAAUUUGAUCCCAUGCUAUUCGAGAUUGUGAUCUCCCCGUCUCAAAAGUUUUUCUUGGACGAUGUCUAGGGUGAUUCCUGGCAUCGAGAGGUAUGAUGGGUGUGUACUGGUUAGCUGUGUUUUCUUACGAAAUACCGUAAACGGAACUAGUCCUUCGUGACUACGGAAAUCCGUUGGCUGUGCGAAUAAUUUUGUACAAACUCUGCAGAGUCAUAUAUCCCCUCCAAAUCAUCUAUUCCAUGUCCAAAUUCGUGUUAUCUUGUCCUAACAAUGACAGUUUUGAUGACAGAGACUCCGGUGAUUCGCAUGAGUGCUAAUUCCGGUUAAAUGAAUAUUCCUGUGGAUGGACUAACCCAUUUAUUCUCAUGAAUUAAAUGUUUAUUAUGAGUAUUAUUUACUUAUGAAUCAAAGCCUUUUGUGUGAUGUCGCCCCGACGUCCGACUGUGGCAUUUCUUUUAAAGCCCUUUCUGUGAUGUCGCCCCGACGUCCGACUAUGGCAUUUCUUUUAAAGCCCUUUCUGUGAUGUCGCCCCGACGUCCGACUGUGGCAUUUCUUUUAAAGCCCUUUUCUGUGAUGUCGCCCCGACGUCCGACUGUGGCAUUUCUUUUAAAGCCCUUUCUGUGAUGUCGCCCCGACGUCCGACUGUGGCAUUCCUUUUAAAGCCCUUUAUGUGGUGUCGCUACGACGCCCGACUGUGGCAUCUUUUCCCUAUAUUUAUUUGUUCACCUUUCGAGGUGUCGCUUCAGACACCCGAUCGGUAAUUAUUCAUGCUUUGUUGGGGUUUCAGGCGGACUACCGCCGUUUCCCUUUUACUUACCUUGUUAUGCUAAUUUUGAAUGUACAUUGGUGAAUUUAUUCAUGUCGCAUCCAUGCAUGCAUUUGUUAUAUCUUACGUCCGAACUGUCUUGCGAGUACUUUCAAAGUACUCACUGGCUUGUUGAUUUGGCCAGAUGCUGACGAAGGCGAUUUCAUGGAUGAAGAGUUCGAUAGCGAGUCCGACACUUAGAGCAGUCCCAGUCAGUCUCGUGCGACCCUGGAUUUGGUCACUGUUUUAUAUCCGCUUCCGCUACCAAAUAAAUUCAUCGAGCCUCACCUCGACGCUCGAUGAGAUGAUAGACUUAGAGUCUUGUAUUUCUCUCCCCGCUGUGUUUUUCCACCACCGCCCUAUCCUCGAGUCAGUAGUAUGUCUCCACACCACUGUGUCAUGUCCUCCAUUAUGUAUAAUUAUUGGCGUGCUUGUAAUAAUUUGGUUGAGCAACCGCAGUUCGACCCUGUAAUAUAUUUUAUGCUACUGGCUUAUUGUAUCAAGAAAUUGUCUACCAGUGAGGAGGAUUUCUCUCAUACUGGACUCAAAAUAUUGGUUUCUCAAUAAAUAUUUUUAUUGGAAAACCGGUCAUGACAGGUUAGGAGACGUAGGAUCUUCAUCCAACCGCCUGAAAUGGUCGAGAAACAAUAGGGAGUUGCAUUCUUAAUGCGCUCUGGUUCAUCAUGUAUGGGCACUGCACAACUAACAUUUUAUUAUCCAAAAUCUGCUUGCUCUUCUUUAGCAUGUUCCUCUUCCAUUCUUCUUUAAUAAGUACUCUCUCCGUUCCUAAAUACAAGUAUUUGUAUAGAUUCCACCAUGGACUACAUAUGGAGAAAAAUGAGUGAAUCUACACUCUAAAAUGUAUCUGGAUACAUCUGUAUGUGAUCCAUAGUGGAAAUCUCUACCAAGACUUAUAUUUUGGAACGGAGGGAGUAUAUAUGAUAGUGGUACAGUAUGUUCCUUAUAGUGAAGAUGAGCUGGGACAUUUGCAGUGUAGAGGUCUAUACGGUCGAUUGUGAUGGACAAUUUCAACUCUUCGGGCCUCUUUGAUUUGUAGGAUUUUGUAAACACGGGAAUAGGAUUUGUAGUGGUGUGCCCACUUGAAUCCUAUAAGAAUAGCAAGGAAAUGCGGGGAGCUAUCUCGCCUUUGAGAGUUACACUAAUAUUAACAGUACCGCACCUUCAAUUGAAGAGAGUUGGUAUCCGAAGCCUUUCUAGUCGUACCGGCAAUACUAGCACAUAUUCUAGCAAGUUCCACUUUGCUGAUUUUACUCUGAUGCUUAAGGUUUUCCCGUUAUAUCUACACUAUGAUCUGUGUAGCUACUUUGUGUCGCACUAGCAACAGUCCACUCUUGAAGUUAAACACUCAAUGACUUACAAAAUUGGCACCAAGGCAUUGAGUGCCAUUCUGGAUGAAAUGAAACUCAUACGCUCCCCACCUGUUGACUCUUGUUCAGAAUAUGAUCAUAAUGACUCUUGUUCAAAAUUGCCACAUAUAGAGAGACAUCAUGGAAUUGCAUUUCUUUGGGCGCUGUGAUUCAUCAUGAGUGGGCAACCAACAUUGUAUGCAAUGAAGCGGAACCUCAAGAAUAUGCUUCCUCUUCUGUUCUUUAACAUGUUCCUCUUUUGUUAUUCUUUAUUUAGUACAUACAAUAUGUUCCUUGUCAGGAAGGGGAGUAGGGACAUCUAUAGUCAACAGUUGAUAGAGCGAGCCUGUACAUGAUCGAUAGGCUUUCAAUUACUAACGGCAAUACAACACCAUCUUUUCAAGCCAGUUCCACUUUCCCGAUUUAUAUAUCGUGGUUAUGGUGUACCCCUUUUAUGUACACUAUGAUCUGCCUAGUUGUUUGUGUGCUCUUGUUACCAUGGUUUGGCAAUAAACUCUCUAUACAGUAUAUUAUGAACCUAUCAUCUGCCAACUAUCCUUACUUCUGGAGCCUAUUUUUUGUGUACUUGUGCCAGAUUAUAUUAAUGCACGCACCAUAUUACAACACACAUGAGCUCUCUCAUCAGAAUCCAGUGAUAGCACACAAGUGUUUACAGGGGCUCCCCUAUAUUAGAAUAUCCUCUGCAUUACAAAGAUAAUCUCACUACUAUUUAUGUUUUCAUGGUUCUCAGAUAUUAUAUGUAAUUACAGUGAAUAUUGGAAUCCGUGUAUCUGAAGAAUAUUGUGGAACACUGCAAUGACUUACAAAAUUGGCACCAAGGCAUUGAGUGACAUUCUAGAUGCAAUGAAACUCAUACGCUCCCCACUUGUAGAUUCUUGUUCAGAAUAUGAUCCUAAUGACUAUUCUAACCUCGAGGAGUCAAAGGCAGAUGGCCUGUCCUGUUCACCCAUCAAGGUGCAUGUUCUAAUUUGGAAAGGUUUUAUUGAUUGCGCGUAUCUUGCAUAUGUUGUCUUGCAUUUCUUCUACUGUGUUGCACCUCCAUCUGCUUAGUUUACUCAUCAUAUAUGUCGAGAUGCCAUGCCCAUCCAUUAUCAAUACAUAUUCCAUUUGUCAUCAUACCAUGUUUUUCCACUCAAAUGAUGUUCUUGUGCAUCAAACAUCAAAAAGGAAGAGGGUGAUUGCCGAACCUGAAGGAGCACCAGCAAAGUCCUUGAAAAACGUGGUAGUGCCGGAGAAAUCAGACAGCACCCCACUUAUAUUGGCUGUACAACCAAUGACACAAAAUGUAGGACCGACUCCAGCAGACUGUUCCCAUACUUCACUGGCCACACCAUUAGCCCCACCACACAGGACCUGCACUCUAGCAAAAGGUAUGCCGAUUUCAGUUGCCAUAGCACCAGCCGUACAAAAGAAAAAUCCCACUCCAGCAAAAAGUACAACAAGUCCACCGGCCGAAGACCUAUCCCAACUGCAAAGACGGCCAAUUCCUGCAGAUUGGAACCCCAUUCCAGUUAAUCCAAGAUUAGAAGACAAUGCUUUCAAUGUUUUUAAGGACUACGUGCAUAUAAUCCCAUCAUGGAAAAAUUAUAGUGAAGACAAACACCAUUUUCACAUCUUCCUGUCCCACUUACGUGUAAGUGCUAUUAUUCGUGGUGAUUAUUUUCCUGUUUUCUGCUAAUUGAACACAUCAAUGAUUUACAUUACAUUAUUGUAAGUAGGCGAGGGUCAAUCUGGAUAGUCACGACGAGCAAAGCUUGCUUGCGCUUUUCAAGGAAGCAUUGCAGCAGUAUCGGUGUUACCUGAGGAAAUCACACUUUCAUGGCAUGUCAAUAAACAAAUUCCCGAUGAAGUCUCCUAUUCUAAAUUUAGAAGACAUAGAAUGGAAAAACCUUGUUAUGCACUGGACUCAUUUCAAGGAUGAGGUACUAUAUGUGAUAUCGCAUGACAAUUUGAACUUCUACUUUUCCGCAUGUGCCUUACGGAUCUUUUUUGCAGGAAGUCUGCUUGAAGAAGAAUUCCGGUUUGAAAAGAACAACAGGAUAUCGUAAAUAUGUUGCCCGCUGCUUUGCUCUUGUUAGUACCUGUUGUCCUGUAUCACUGUACUUGCAUUCAUACCUGGUUCAUUAUGUGACAAAAGUAUGCAUGAUAGCUUGCUUAUCAAUUGUUCGCUCCAAAUUAUCUGAUUUGUAUGAAUGGUUACAUUAGUGUAGAAUAUAUCCAAUGCCAAUGAAAAUUUUUAGCUCUGCAUUGUUCUUGUAAGUACCUACUGUCCUUUAUCAGUGUACUUAUAUUGACACGUAGUUGUUCAUGUACCAUCACUCUGCAGCUUAUUUUCCUUUUCCCUCCACUUUCUACAUAUCAUAUCUAUAUUUACUCUUACCAUUGGAUAACACUGAUGGUACUGAAGAAGUUUAACUCUGCAUUGCUCUUGGUUGUACCUUUUCCCUGUAUCGUUGUACUUACAUUUAUAGCUACUUCGUUAUGUAGCAUCACUCUUCAUCUUAUCUUAAACAUUCUCCAUUUUUCCUUAUAUUGUACAUCUAUAUUUACUCUUAACAAAAUAGAGAAUAAAGGCAAUGCUUAUGAAGAAGAUUAUGUGGUAAACUUCUUGAAUUGCCCCCCCCCCUUAGCAUUGACAAGGGCUUUAUAGAGCCUGUCUUCACCAAUAAUGUAAGUUUGUCCUUCUCAAGCCUUCAAACUUUGUUGUGUAUAUUUGGUUAGGCAUGACUGCAAAAGCUGUUUAUUUUCGGUGUUUGCAUCAAAUUGCAUGUUUAAAGUUUAUUAUGUAGUUCAUAAACAAAAGUUUGUCCUUCUCAAUUUAAGUUUUCAGUUGUACAACCAAGUUGCUUCUUCAUACCAUAUAAAUUAAACUAUACAGAGCAAGUGAUCUUCUUUUGCACCGCAUGUAUGCUUCUGUUCUUGAUCUGUAAUCCAGUGGUGUGGUGAACCUACCCACUACACCACAAUGCAUAUUCUGCAAUGUCUUAACAAUGAACAAUGUCAUAUCGUUCUACUAUUAUUUAAACCGUCUCUUUAUUUGCCAAUCUGAAAUGGGAUAAAUUGACAGCACACUAACCAUUGAUACUUAUGAGUUCUUGAUCCGUAAUCAAGUGGUGUCGUGAAGCUGUCAACUCCUUAACAAUGUCAUUUCCUGCCAUGUCUUGACCUGAACAAUACCAUAUUGUGUUCAUGCUAUUAUAAACUGUGUCACUUUAUUCAUGAGUAAGAAAUGUGAUGAAUUGUCAGCACUGAUACUUAUAUGUGCAAAACCUGUCAUCUAUCUGCUUGUUUAUCUUUUAGAGUGAGGAGGAUAUAAGUGUCAAACAAGAGCAGUCUCAUCAGCUUGCUCAGCUGCUUGCGCUGCAGCUCCGGAGCAGGGCUAACCUUUCUUGAACUCUAUUGAAGUGCUGUCUGUUCUGUAUAUUAUUUUGUCGGCGUGUUUAUUUGCACCGGUGGCGAUCUUUGAUGCCCAGUGUAUGUAAUCUGCUGUCUGCUUGUGCUUUAUUAUCAUAGUGGCGAACUUUGAUGCCUAGUGGAUGUAAUAUGCCGUAAUUCCUUUUAUAUAGUCUAGGUUUUUUCUUAUUCACGAUGUUGCGGUUAUUUUACUAUAUAUAUAUAUAUCCUAUCUUCGCAGUAAACCGGCCAAACUGUAAAAUUACGGUACAUAAUCGGGUCGUCAUGCAAAUCACUAUGUAUGAUCCGCAUCAUGGGCCCCGUCAUCUUGGCCCGUUAACAGGCCUAAAUGUAAACUGGCCCACUAGUAGAUUCGGGCCUUUAACAGGCCGAGUAAACCGCCGGCCCUAUUUUCGUAAGAAAACUCAAUGGGCUUUUAGGAGGCAGAAAUGUAGGUUGGGCCUGAAACGUGCCAAACAACUAACGGGCUGGCAGCAGGCCGAAAUAGACCUCGGCCUAUGAUUGUGCCAAUCAAAUCACGGGCUUGUAACAGGCCAAAAUUGUCUCGGUCCUUGUUUUACCCAAUCAGAUUAUUGGCUGUGAGCAGGCCGGAUGCAAACCGAGCCAUAGUUAGGCCCAACUAUAUGACGGGCUUUUAACAGGCCGAAAUAAAUAUAUGGCCGAAAUGUUAAACGGGCCUUUAACAAGCCGAAAAUAAUAUCAUGCCGAAUUACUAAAUGGGCCUUUAUCAAGUGGGCCCAAAAGCAUAGCGUCCGGUUGACGGGCCGAAUCUGAUAUGCGCCAUAAAUUAGCCCAAAGCCUCUCAAAGGGCCGGACCUGAUCUGGGCCAUAAUUUGGCCCAGAACGUGGUAGGCUUUUAACGGGCCAGAUUUCAUAUGGGCCUAUAUUAGGCCCAGAUCAUGGCAGGCUGUUAAUAGACCGGAUCAAAUAUGGACCGGCAUUUGGCCUAAAACAUGGCAGCCUAUUAAUGGGUCGGCCUACUAGUGUCAUCGAAAUCUUGUGGGCCUUUAGCUGGGCCGGCCCAUUAUGGUCGGUGAAAUCUCGUGGGCCUUUAGCUGGACUGGCCCAUUAUGGUCCGCAAAAUCUUGUGGGCCUUUAGCUGGGCCGACCCAUUAUGGUCCGCAAAAUCUCAUGGGCCUUUAGCUGGGCCGUCCCGUUAUGGCCCGCAGAAUCUUGUGGGCCUUUAGCCCUGACGGUCCAUUGUGGUCCACAAAAUCUAGUGGGCCAUUAGCUAUGCCGACCCAUUAUGGACCGCAAAAUCUUGUGGGCCUUUAGUUGGGCCGGCCCAUUUAAACUUUAUGGGACACUUUUGGGCCGGUCCACGUGUCAACAUUUCAUAAGCGCAUCUCGCCCAUUGGAUGAGUGACACCUGUGCCAACGCAGAGCUGACAUGUGUUUCCUCUAGCCAAUGAUGAUUUUACACGUGGGAAAUCCCCAUUUGUCCGGGCUGUUAACGGGUUAUCGGAUCCAAAACCGGACCCAAUAGCUUAACGGCAUUCCGUUACGGUGGAUGCCACGUGUCGGUCACCCUUGACGAAAGCACAUGGAAGUCGACACUUCCGUGAUUAUAAUUUUGCUAAUGCCAUGGAACACUUCUACGACAGCACAUGUAUGACUAUCUUAAUUCUGUCAUAAAAUUGUCAUGGAUGGACAUGCAUGAUAAAAAACGUGACCUACUGUGACAAACACGUAUCAUCACAGAAGUGUAUUUUUUUUGUAGUGAUAGUAUACCACAUCCAAACCAUAAACCGAAUGAGGACCGACGGGGACGGAUAUCAAAACCAUGAAACUAUAUAUAACAAACAAUCAUACAAGUAAGCAAAUUAUACUAGUAAUUAUCUAAAUCAUACAAAUAAGAUUUUUUUUACAAAAAUGAUAAGAACAAGAGGCUCACCAAGGUGGUACCGGCGCUGGGACGAUGCGGGCGAUCGACGGCGGUGAGGACGGGGACGGGAAGGCACUAAAUAAAACACAGUUAGACACAUGCAAACUAAGAAGUUAAUUUGAGCUCCAAUUGCAUAUAAAUCAAAUAAACUCCCACAUAAUUACUCCUAAACUAAAACUCAACAAAUCACUAUACUUAUAGAGCAUGAAACGAGCUAAAUAGCAAUGACAGAUGAAAGGAUGAAGUUGCUAACUUUUUAGAACCCAUGGAUAGAUGGGGUGCCUCCAAUCUUGACAAAUCUUGGAAAAAAUGGAGGAUGAACUCGAGCUUGGUUAAGGAAACAGAGAGAAGAGAAAGCUUGGACUCGGUCUGGAUGAAGCAACUUUAUAUAGGGGGAAGACUUUAGUCCUGGUUGGACAUACCAACCGGGAGUAGUCCCGAUUGGUGAGACCAACCGCGACAAAAGGGGCUCGUAGGGGCCCAGCCUGCCGCAACCCCUUUAGUCCUGGUUGGUAUCACCAACUGGGACUAGAGGUCCUGUUUGAACCGAGACUACCCCGUCCGCUCCUAGCCAUUAAAACUGGGACUAAUGCUCACGUUAGUCCCGGGCCCAAACCCGACCGGGACUAGUGCUCCGGAUGAAAGGUUAGUUUUCUACAAGUAGACACCUGAGUUUUCUGGAGACAAUGAGGACCCCUGGUGUGGGGGUUGCUGCUAGAAACUCUUAUAGCAAAGUCAUCAUCUCUUCCACAUGAUUUUAUUGGACGGGUUAAAAGUCUUAAUGAAGCUAAGUUUCGGGUUUCAUGUCGGGCAUUAUAUUGGUAUCACUCUUCACAAGUCUAUUAUUCUGGGGAAUGAUUGUGCUUUUGUAGUUUCUUUUCUUACAAAUGGAAACAUUGAAAGGUCUCCUCUCGUUGAUCUCAAUAAGAAGGCAUUGAGGAUCGGCUUCUCCAGAACUACAAAAUUUCAAAAAAUUAACCGGUUUACUGAUGGAAUGACACACAAGAUUGCGAAGUAUUGUUUCGAUAGUAGGUCUGAUGGUGUUCUUCUUAAUAUUUUGCCGACCUAUGUGGUGUAUGCUUUAAUUAAUGAUUCACAAUAAUUUUUUUAUUAAUUAAUAUAUAGGGUGUUUUAAUGAACACUAGAAGUUAUAAUAGAAAUCAUUUGGUUGCACCACAUGAAAAGAUAGAAACUUUCUAUCAUGAUGCAAUACAUGACAUGGUUGGCGUAGACACAAAUGAAAAAUCCCCAAAGGUCACACAAUUUGCUGGAUAUCCUAUAGCAUCCUACUGUAGAAUAAAAAUUGUAGGAUUUUCAAGGGAUUCAAUCUUUGACAUUUUGUAAUCUCUGCGGGAUUUCCUAGAAAAAAUUUAUGGUUCUCGAAACUUAAUGUGUAGAGCUGAUACUAGCAUAAAUAUCUGAGAGUUGAGGAAACUUAUAGAAAUUUUCUCGGCUAAUAUACAAUUCUUAUUUCAGGUCGAAUAUGUUAUUUCACGUCGGUGGCCCACCAAAUGGGUGCAUAGUUAUCCGUCCUCCCGCCUCCUCCCCGACGUCAGCUCCUUCAUCAUCCUAAUUGUUAGCUAGCCCCCUCAUGAUGUGGCAUUCAUUUUGCAAUGCCACAAGAAGGCUUAAUUAAUACUACUCACUGCAUUAAUUUAUGGACUAGUUAAAUCGGGAAACUUUUCUUUGGACAUGGACAAUCAUAUUCAUGUGAUCUGAGUAUUUGUAUUGAAUUAUCUUAUUCUUGGUAGUUACUCCAUCAUGGUGGAUUGUUGUACAAAGGUGUUAAUACGUCCAAAAGCUAUCACAUUUACUUCUAGAUUUCUGAUGUCUUUUCGUGUCAUGUACUUAUUGUAUACUUAUAUUUUCAUGUAUUACAUUACUUAAUUUCAGGUAUAACUGGUAGACAUUACAAUUUAUAUGAUCUCCCUAACAAUGCCAAUAAAUAGAAAAGGCCCAAAUAUCAACGAAUAUGAUGACAAAGAAAAUCAUACGUACGCAAGGUACAGUUACGGGGUGCAACGAGACGACACCACAUGGUUUGUAGGGCCCACCAGUUUCUCCACUGCCCUCAUCCAACCGUUAUCGCUACCAUUCUAGAUUGAAUACAUCAUAAGACUCCAUUUAUGGUUGUAUUUAUUGAGGAAUGGGCGGAAGAUGACCAACCAACAAAGAAAAUGAAUGUUCUUCGGGGACAAAAUAUUGCCCAACUCUCUUCUCCACCGGAAUCCACGAUAGAUUGCAAAGGAUUGGUUUGUACCCAUGGUAAUGAUAGUCACAUAUCCUCCAUGAUGAUCCCAUAAUGAGUGAGUAGUCCAUCGAGACUAUGGGGGUUAUGUAGCAGUAGACAUGUCAAUUUCUCCUACAUUUGGUUGGAUCUAGGAUUAUUUGUGAUUCUGCUAAAGUGAUACUAUUAUGGUUGUGCCAUUGAUACAUUGUUAUUUUAACAAGGAUGUGUAAUGAUUGAGAGUUACAUAUUGGUCAUAUCAUUGAGUCUUAUACCCUUUAUAAAUACAUUGGAUGAGUGUCCAUCAAUUGACUCCAUCCUGCUAUUAUGGGAUGAUAUAUUAUGUGCAUGUAUAAUGUAUUUGGCAUGGGUUUGCAUGGACUUCAUUGGCCCCUCAUUUCGUGUGAUUUGUGAAAACCCUGAGAAGGAAAUAGUAGUGUGACAAAAUCUAUGUCAUGUUUUGCUUUGCGCCUAUCAUUAGUAGUACAUGGAAGCAUCCUUUUUGGUUAGCCAAUAACAUAAUUAGCUGGAGAGAGAGAGAGAGAGAGAGAGAGAGAGAGAGAGAGAGAGAGAGAGAGAGAGAGAGAGAGAGAGAGAGAGAGAGAUUGUGAAACUGUUGAACUCCUUGCUGCUUAUCUCUUAAAAUUGUUUUUUAUUUUACGUGACAACCAUUUUUUUGUAAGUUAGUUAAUUGAGAAAUGGAUACUUGAAGCUUUUGCUUGCACACCAUCUUAUUAGUUUAUCUUGUUUUAGGUUAAAGGAGAAAAGUCAACCUAAACUUCCAUGUGUUUGGUACUCAUUGCGGUGCUAUUUUCCAGACAAUAAUCAUCCAGUGCAGCGUACCAAUCGGUGAUCCUAAUAGUGCACAUAAGGAGAGAUUUACAUUGAAUCUUGGAUCGAGGUAAUACCCUACUUCCUGCUUGUCCGGAUUGAUUUCCCUAGACUCAUAUGAGAACUAUGGUUUAUGUGUACAUGGGGGUUUGGUCGCUAGAUCAUAAUUGGUGUAUGAAGCUGAGAUGAUUCUGAAGCUAUUCGAGGGAGGGGUGUGGUGGUGGGUAUCUUCCACACCUAAUGUACCUACCCAUGGCUACUGUUGCAUGAGUCCCGACUUGGUUGAUAUGCAUAAUACAGUAGACCUACUGUGGAUGGAAAGUAGAGUCAUUGUAUUGUACAUCAUGGUGGUGAUCCGCCCUCUAACAUCUGAGGACUUUGAGGAGCAGGCCUUGGACACCCUGUGAUUGUUGGGCUUCGUCCAUCCUCCAUGUCUAUAGGCAGUGGAGCAUGGCAUCAUGACUCAUCUAUUAUAUAUAAGAUGUACUUAGUGGGCUAACAAGAAUAAAGUGAAUUAUGAUAGAAAUUUCCACAAAAGUUAGAAACAUCUAACCUUUAAUUGAGUUUAUCAUAAAACUACAACCGUUAGAUCAUAAUAUAAUUAUAGAAAAUUACCCACCAAUACCAUCAUCAAUGAGGCAACUCCUAUACGCUAAACUAAUUUGCUUGUUCGUUCAAUCUCACAAAAAAGUCACCCAUAUGUUCUCUCUCGUCCACAUCUAGCAAUGCCCAUAAGCCAAUCCCCAAAGCAAAGCCGAUCAGCCGUGGCCCUGCGGUGUAUUCUUUUCCCAAUAGGCAUCCACCCCAAUCACAACCAAUAUAUCUCAAUCACCGCCUUUACCACUCAUAUUAAAGCAGCUCACGACCCGACAGUACAAAGCUAAUGAAAAUCUACAAUUUUCUAACCCUAAUUUAUUUUUCUGAUGUCGCUCUCUCAUAUUUGUCUAGCAAUGUUACUUUAACCCUAACAUUGUCUCAUGUUUGGAAAGUAAAGCUGGGGCAAGGCAAGUUGCAUCCGUCGCCUCCCCGACAUCUUCUCUAAAACCUCAAGAUGCAUGUCCUCCGUGUCCUGCGAUCUCCUCAUAUUGGGUGCUUCAAAGGGGUAUCCAACAUCCAGCCGUGCACGUACCAUGACAUAACAUUCGACUGAUUGGUGGUCGGCAAUCGAUCAAACCACCAUGCACUCUCAUAAAGGCAGCUAGCACAAUUAGAUGCUUAUCUGGCUGCUAAGAUUCUGAAUAAACAUGAGUACAUAUACGCUUGCACGCGUUGUUUCUUAACGUGUGGCAUGCAGGAGUGCGCAACUAUAUAAUUUGAGGGCAAGCAAUAUUUGUACAAAGGCUCCUCUCAUAGGUACGUAUGUACACACAUAACUAUAGAAGUACAGUGCACACAUCCAUUGAUCAUUGCAUGAAGCAUUAAUUAAUACCGUAAUUUUGUCUUCUGUCUUUUCGCACAGACCUAAAUUUUGUUUUGCACAUUCAAAGGUGUAGACCUAAGAUUUCAUGUUAGCUCUGCAAGUAACAAUACUGGAUUGGUGUAUCUUUCUACAGUACACUAUGUGGUGACAUGCUGAAAUACUGCUUGUAAGGUUCAGUUAAGACAAGAGCUCUGUUUCGUCAGUGGUGUAUUCUAUUCAGGAUGCCAUGCUUCAAAGAUUCCAUCAGUUCUGAUGAUUUGUAUUUUGUCGGAAUCUGAAAGACAAAUAGUUGAUAAAGAAAUAUUUAUGUGUAUUCAGACCAGUUGUCAAAUAAGUACCAGUGGCUGCACUUUAAUCAAGAAAAUAUGCACAUGGUCGUUUAUUUUAUUUUGUAUAUUACAUCGAUAAUAUCUCAUUCACUAUUUAUGUGAUUAGAUAACUUUACACAGAUAAUGUUGGACAUCACCCUACACUUUACAUUAAUACUGACAAACUAGCAAUGUUGUGAUAUUAACUUUAUAAGCUACACAAUUUGAUGGUUGACAUAAACGUGCAAAUAUUUUCUAUUAUGAUUUUCAAGGAGAUAUAUAGGCCACGAAGCACUAAAAUUUAAUGAAGACUUACGCACAUGUUUGUGGUUGCUUUGAAAUUUCUCUGAAAUGUAGCAAUUUGUAUAUUAAUUCUGCUAUAUUUUUUCCUUGCUUGCUACUUCAUUAGUAUGAAUACUUCAUUUCUAAUACUCUAUGAUGUUGCUCCUUACCGGCAAGGCUAUUUUUUCAUUUAUUAUCUAUGAUUCCGGUUCGCCAGAUAAUAAUAGUUCAAUGUACGUUUCAGUUUAAUAAAAACCAAUUGUAAGUUGUAACUGAUGUGACGCUCAAAUUUUCUUGUAGUAAAUCUAUCUAAAGGUGCAACUAUACUAGCAUGCUUAUUAUAAGGAGGACACUGAUGGUGCAAAGGGGAGACAACAAUGAUAUGAUAUUAUGAUGUGUCACAUUGGUAAUCGUUUGAAGUUCGAGUAACAUAUUUGUAUAAGACAAAAUGUGAAUCUAUUAUUUAUUUUUGUUUAGACCUAUCAUGUAGCUUAUUUGGGACAAGUUCUUCUCAUAGAAUGUGUGUGGAAUCAACAAUAAAACUAUACAAUUACGAAAUGUUAACCAGCCUGGAUUUUAAAUGUAAGCUGCACUUGAUAAUAUGGACUUAGCUAGAGUGUUCAAUUUGAAUUAUACAUGUUCAUUCAGUUUCCGCGUCAAGGAGCCGUGGAUCCAUACAAAGGAUGUUGGCAACCUCUAUUUUUUGAAGAAAAAAAAAACCGAGUAUGUCCUUACAUUCUCCUCUUUCCAAUAUAUAUGUGUUGAUGCUGCAUUUAGUUCUAAUAGCUUGUCAAAGGUAACUGUGAAAGCUGAAAGUUAUGUACAACCUUCACUCAAUUCUAAAAGAACUUCAGGGAAAUUUGUACCUGAUCCCGUCUUUCAUCAACCUUCCUUAAUAUGUUACAUUUCUCUAUUCUUGUAUAUAAAAGUAAGUUUGUUUCUUUCAUUUGAGUUGAUUAGGAACGAUAAGGUAAACAUAAUUUGAUAAAUUCUAUUGUUUGCAUAGAUGUGAAAGAUCAUGCAUUGGCACUUGGCACUGGGAUGAUCUAAUCAUAACUGCCUUCUUUUAUAUUCCAAAUAACAGAAGUUGCAUAAAAUGUUUAUAGGUGAUGUACAAUGGAGGCAAUUGAGGGAAAAUACACUCUCUCAAUGGCAAUAUGUUGCAGCUUUCACAAACAAUCUUGAUGUUUCAUGUGUACAUAUCGCCAGACAUGGUAUUACCUCAUAGUUUUUACCCUUAUAUAAUAUUGCUAUGAAAGAAUAAUUUGUGCUUACUUCCAAAUGCAGGUACUACUGCCUAUCUGUGGGGUGUGUGUAUCAAGUGACAUAGGAUAGUGGGUUUCAUCCGUAAGCUAAAUUUUAUUGGUCUUCUUUUUCACUAUUUACAGGUUAUAUUCAACUUAGGGUUGUAACUCUCAUUCCUUUAAAUACAUUACUAUACAUAAUUAACUUUUUCAUAUGUAUCACUUCUCAUAAAUGAAAAAAUUGUAUGUUCAAAACCCAGCCUACUAGACUCUAAGUUGCUCUUGUGUAUACUCCACAGUGUUCUAAUCUUCAGAAGGCCUUUGUGAGUACGAAUAAAAUAUUUCUAAUGGUCUUUUCUGAAAUGUAAUCCUUCAUAAUUUUGUAUGGAAAUAUAUAAUGAUUUUUUCACUGUACAUCUUAUCUUAAUAGUUUCUAUCAUCAUAAUUUUUGGUUUUCCUACUACUAGCUUUUAGUAUAUCAUCACAUCCCUAAUUCUACUUUCUUAUAUUUAAAAUUAUUAGAAUCCUAUGUUCAAACUAAUUCUUUCAAAAAGAUCUGUACCCUAGGAACAUUUUUGGUUGGAAUAAUUUCAGAAAGAGGGCUGAUAUUAUGGAUAAAUAUGUACGUUUUUAUGUUCUAAUAUAUCCAAAAGAUCAUAAGCGUGUCGAGAUGAGUGCGUGAGAAAUAUCAUUAAAGAGAGGUGAAAAUGUGCCCCAGUAUUUGUUUGCUCACUUUCAGCGAAUACGUCCUUUAAUUCACAUUAAAAGCCUGGAAAAAAAGUUCACAAGCAGCCAUAAGAUACUUAAAAGGCAUUAUUUCGUAAUUUUGCAUUCUAAAUUUCAUAGUCGUAAUGAAAAGAUAAUUUCAUAUACAAAUAUAAUAUAAAUACUACAUAUGUUACCAUCUUCUCUACCCAUUAAAAUGAUGCCCUCGUAUUUGCGGGGGCCACUGUGCUAGUUCUAAUUAAAGAGAAGAUGUACAACAACCCUGUGGACUUGCAGGAAUGAUUGUGGGUCACAUAAUCAAGCUCUUUUAUAGUGCAAUUGCUAGGGAAGAAUACAUUAAUUAAGUCUGCGGUCAUCACAACCAGUGCGAUCGAACGCUGGCUUCUCAGCCUCUUCAUGUAGAAGUCUUCCACGCCGAUGCAUGGCGGCGAGUGACAUGCACGCUACGUGUAGGCAGAAGUUGCUCUGCCAGAGAUGAAAAUAAGCAACACCCAUGUGAGCCGGGCAUAUGCACAUACUAUGAAGACCUUUUUGCCUAUUCCCUAGCCCCUUGCGUGUCAUGAUCGCCAUCAUCAUAUCUGAUCUUAGAAUUAGGUGUUGCGGUCAUACACAUACGAGCAAGUCCAUAACUAGUUCAUUUUUUAAUUAUUUUGAGUACAAUUUCAUUUUAUUUAAUCGCAUACUUAACUACAAUUUUACCACUAUCAAGAAGGUACUCCCUCCUAUUUGUAAGUGGUACAUCUUAAAACUUAUGUUCGAGUACCAUAUAAGAUUGGCUAUUAGAUUAGGAUGGAUGUGUGGCUCAUAUCAAUUUUGAGGUACUGUAAAAGAGCAUGGUUCAUAUGGAUUAAUUAGAAUCCACCAAAAGUCUUAUUGUUAAAAAUCCUCCAAACCAAAGAGAACCUAAGGUGACAAUGACAUGCAAGAUAGUGAAGGAAGGAAUUUUCUUUCUAGUUGAAGAGUCUUUCCCUAUUCAGAAUCUUUUUUGACCCUAUUUAAAAUGUGAGAAUUUCACAUGAAUUCGGUAGGACAGUACAAGCCAUAAUGAACGAAUCCAAGUCUUCCAUUUUUCUUUUUAAGAUUGCUAUUGGCAAAGACACAAAUUCUUUUUCCAUGUGCAAAUAUGCAUUGACAUUAUAGCUGUUCUGAAAUCUGAUGUUCAUUUCAUGUACUGUAGUCUAGUCUGAAACUUGUAGCUUUCAACUUGUCACCAUAUGGUUAGUAUAAUCUAUGUGGUGAGGGCGGAGAUAAAACAUUAGGAUGCUGCAAGGUAGAUAGCGGGGGACAAAAAGUAGCACAAAAGGUUCGACUGAUAUAUGAGAGUGCAGUCAUUUUCUGCUCGGCCAGGGUCGCCUUUGUAAUAAGUGGACCAGUAUCAAAGUGGCGAUGCGGUCAUCGGUGCUUCCCUCGUAGAGGCGCAUGGGAUGCAUGCAUGAAUGAGCUGAACGAUAAUCUAAUGAGUGCCGUGCAAAUGGCAGGAACAAGAGAAGCGCGUGUUUCAUCUCACACCAACGAUCGAACAAAACAUAUCACCACCAACAGUUGACCGUGGUGUCAGCUUUCGAAAAAAUAUAGAUCCAUGAUCCAUGAUCCAUCUCCACCGCAGUGCAAAAUGGUUUCGUUGCAACCCACCCACUGAUUCUUAAUGCUUUUCGGGUACUUUAAUGAAAUGUGUUUCACAUGGACAAUUAUCGUACGAAUGGUAAAUCAUCGUGAAGCAAUAUGGUAGUGGAUUAUGAGAAAAGAUUCAUCUCCAACCCGCUGCCAAAACGGUUAGGAAGGUAGCUAGCUAGUUUUCUCAAUUCACUAAUGAUCGACCAUUCAAUCACCAUUAACUGAUCUACUUGCAUCUAGGAGAGGCCCAGUGGAGUCUGCACAAAAAAGGUUGAGUUACACAUGAAAGGGCGUACGUACAAGUUAACUGAUGUGUCAAGCUCGUGCAUAAAUUGAUCAUAAAAAACUAAAUCAAUUGUAUCGCUUUUAUUUGUCGGGGAACUAACCAAUGAUCUUGAGGGUCACCUUUGGCUCUUGUUCAUAUCUGCUCUGUAGCUCUGGAAAGCCCCGAGUAAUUGGUGUCUUUCCUUUGCCGCUGCAGUGAUUGUACUCCUAUAUAACAUUAAGAAUGCACGCACUGCAGCCAGAAGCUGGCUGCUCGCUCUGACUGCUUUCUACCAACCGCUGAGUCGAUCCGAUCCAUGAACCGUUGGCUGCCGGCAUGCAGGGAAAUUCCUUCCUUGUCUAAAAAUAUGACAGUGCCUGCUAGAAGCAGUGCAUGUCCGUUGGGGCCAUUGAUGGCCAUGUCGUAUUCUUCUUCUUCAGCACAUAAUCCGGGUGCGUAGCUAGCUGGUGGAUGGUCGCCAGUGCGUUCCCGUCGUCACGCUCCCUGACUGUGAUGUGCUCCACGGCCUUGCAGCAGCCCAACACUUGCCGAUUCAUUCACGACAAAGGAGCCAACUUGGCAUAAUUGUUGGGCAUGACCAUCCGGUUCACCGAAUUCUGUACUACUACUUGUAGCUCGCCGCAGGUCCGUGUCAUCCAGCUCCGGGCACGACUCUCUAGGUGCACGCACCGAGAAGUAUGUGUGUGGAUGGCAAGCAAAGGCUCCAGAACAGGAUCAAUGAUCUCAUACCACUUUUUGUUGCUGAGAAGGAGGUAAAAGCUAUCUCAAUGAAUGACACACUCACACGAUGAAAUGUUACAAGACACAAAAUUCUUGUGCGGCAUUCAACUAGCAGAAUUUUUGUUUUUGCUUGUCUAUUCAUUUAAUUGGCCACUACUUGAGCCGUUCAGCUACAAAUAGGAAGGGAGAAAGACAUUAGUUGGACCGAGCUUCAUGGCAAUGCCAUCCCGAAGCCACUCACUCCACAACCCCAACAUUGCUGCCGCAAUCGCUAGGCCUCAUGCCAUCCCAUAUAGUAACCACAACAGUCUACAUAUAAAGAAAUAAACCAGCAGCCAAGUCGUGUACAUACACACACAACAUGGCGCAUUAUUUGCUAGCCGAGGAAUAAAGCGAAACUAGGGUUCAUGCGAUGUUGACUAACACAGAAGACGCUGUGCUU